GAAAGGAGUUGCCGUACUGGAACGACACGGGGAAGCUGGGCUCAAUGGACUUGCCGUCGUUGACGAGGCAGUCGUUGAUGCCGAGGCGGCGGAACUUGGCCGGGUCGAUGACAUCAUUUGAGGCGAAGUCGCCGCAUGCGACAUGGACGUCGCACACGAGACAUUCCAUGCAUGUGUUGGUGAACUCCACGCUGUAGGCCGGUAUGCCGCCCGCCAUGCUCGGCGCGUUGAUCUGGUACACCUCCAGGAGAUCCUUUGAGCACUCCUCCAGCUCCAACGGCUCCGCCGAGCGCCCUCCGCCGCCGCUCGAUGACAUGGAAGGUGCACUGACGCUGAGCAUCUUGCGCAUCUGAUGCCGAGGCAGCUGCAGCUGCAGCGAGGAAGAUGCUGAUGCUAGCAAAAACAAGAAGCAAAACUAGUGAGCCAAAAGAUGAUGAAUUAACAUGCAGUUCUAUAUAUACGUACGUAAGGUACAUACCUUGACUGCCUUCAUAGCAAGCCUGGAGCAGAAGCAUGGUGACGACGACCACAACAGCAGCACUUGGACGCGUCUGAAAGCACGCCAUGGCCGGCGGCCUUCGUGUUCUCACUCCUGAGCGACGUGAGCGUGGAUGGCGUAGUUGGUUCUUCUCCUCUUCGGCCCUGCUAGCCUGACUUACCACUAGGCGUGCCUACUUAUACUACCAGUGGCUUCUCCAUCCAGACCUAAAUUGUAUCUCAGUGUAUUUAUACUAUGAUCAAUAAAUAAAAUGUGUUUAGAUUAAAAAAACUUAAUACUACUAGUGGUGAAGUCCCACCCCUUCUUUUUUUAACCUGGUGAGUACCACACCACUAGUACUCGUAGCAAGUUCCCUUGCAAAUUAAACGCCGGCACAGCUGGUACACGUCGAGCCGCAAUUUAAUUAGGGCCUCUCUGAUUCGUGGACUUGUAAACCAUAGGAAUGAAGUGGCAUGGCAUCCUCGAUUACUACAACAGGCCGGACUAGUUUGGUUGUUUGAUCGUGGGAAGAAAAAAAAUAUAGGAUUCUUCACAUAGGGUUUUAGCCCUUAAACACACUUACUUCCUCUGUCCGGUGAAAAGUGUAUAUUUGAGUUUAAAAUUUGUUCACAAAAGAGUGUAUUUCUAUCUUCGCAAUGCACUUUAGAGUAAAAAAAAAUAUUUUUCUCUCAUCACACGGUAAUCAAGACCAAUAACAUUAUACACAUGGUCUUCUUAAUUUCUAUAUGCACUUAUAGUAGCUCAUUGGGGGUUGGGUAAUUAAAGAUGAGAGAAAUGAUGACUUGCACCUUUUCAAUCCAUUUUUACUCCACUUUAUAAUUUGUCCUAAAAUUUCUAUAUGUACACUUUUCACCGGACGGAGUAGGAUAAAACACAAUAUUCUACUAGAGAUGCUCUUAAACACACUCCAUUAGCCCUUAGAUAUAGGAUUUCUUCACAUGAAGUUUUGUGGGAACAACUAGAGAUGCUCUUGGCAUGACAUCUUCAAAAACUACAAUAUGAUUUGUAUGGUCGUUUGAUUGCGUACGGGAAAACCGUAGAAUUCUUCACAUGUGGUUGUAGCGCUUAAACACACUUAGGAUGAAACGUAGAAUUCUACAAGAGAUGCUCUUAAACACACUCCCUUAAACGUAAGAUUCUUCACAUGAGGUUUUUGAGGGAACAAUUGGAGAUGCUCUUAGACUAUUAGCUGGCAUCUGUUACUAUUUUCUGUUACUAGUAAUUCGAUAGUGGGUAGUGUCACAUGUAUAAUAACAUAGAAGCCUUUACUUAUUAUUUUAUAGUUAUUUUCUUUUAAGAAAAGAGACAUUUUUUGGUGAAAAGAAUUAUGUAACGAUAACAUAUUAAAUUACACACUCUAGACCGGUUUGUUAGUUGGGAGAACCAACUAAGCGCGACCAAGGUUAUCCUUUAAUUAUGUAAUUAAUGCCUUGAUCCCUUAAAAUAGCCAACUACCAUGCAAGUCUAUCCUUCAAUUGCGAUGAUUAAAUUGCCUACACCCUCCGUACCGGUGCAUUGUCACAGUGGGGAGUAACUUAGAGUAGUAACAUGCAUAUGUUACCAGUCUAUGUUACUACCUCCACAGUGGGUAGUAACGUAUGUGUUGUGUCAAUGCAUCACUUCAUUUAGACUCAUCUUUUUUUGAUAUGUGUGAUGUUACAGUAGCUAGCUAUGUUACCACAUGCCUCUCUUUUUUCAUUAAUUACAUGCCACAUCAUCUAUUUUGCCUAGAUAAGUGUGAUGUUACCACCUAUAUUACUCCCACUAUGGGUAAUCUUAGUCAUCUUAGGUUAUGCACCGCGACCAAGACGGAGGAGAAAACGCGCGAGAGAAUUUAAUGUUUUAUGUGCUAAUUAAUAUCAUUACAUGCAAUGAAAUGACCAAUGCAUGCCAUGGUAGGUAGUCUCAAGCCACUGAAAGCAUACAUGCCCUACAUCUUUUAUUGAUUGAUUCCUUUAUUCAUGUCAAAAAACAAGAAACAAGCUAAGAGUUAAUGCACCACGCCUAUGGAUGUGUUUGUUUACUUUCUAAGCAGGGCUUGGUUGAGAGGAGAAAAACGAGACAGGCUGAGUGGAGACAGGUUGAGGAAAUAUAGGGUAAAAUACGACUUUGUGUGUUGUUUGGUUGCUUGCAUAUAGGGUCUUAUCAUGACACCUGAUAUUUGGUUGCAUACAUGCAUGAUAAUUAGGUGUUAACAAUUACACUUAACAGAGAGAUUACAAUAAUAGAACACACACGUUCUUCGACCGCAGAAAGUGUUGGUUUUUAAACCGUAGAUCAAAUCACGCAGGAGCUGUGUAUAGGCACGUACAAGCUAGCGAGCAGGCACACUGCUUGAUCGAUGAACAGUGCCUGUGCACGUCUCGUCGUACGGUGCGUGUCGACGGAACGGUCUUGCUCUCGAGGUAAACUUUGCGAACGAAAGUACUUGAGCGAAACUGAUUUUUGCGAUGCGUAACUCUGGCACCUUUUCAGAUUCUCUCUUGCAUACAUAAAGGGAUACAGGCGCCCCGUUCAACACGUCGCCCCAUUCGGCGACCAACACGACAAAGACCCGGACUCGUACAAUCACUUGUCAGGUUUGCUAAUGUGAAUACUAAGGGUGUGUUUGUUCGGGCUGCAACUUCUCCGGCUGCAGCUGCAACGGCUCUCGUUGGAAGGAGCAGCUGUAGCUGCCAGCUGCGGCUGGAAGGUUGAAGCUGAGAUGCAGUCAUUUGGUAGUUGAUGCUGUAUUAGGUGCGGCUGAUGCUGAAACAUGCUGAAAUGACCAUAAUGCCUUUUGUUUUUCUGUAGAUCGAGUUUAAGUGCCGAAUAUACUUUUUAAUAGUAAAUGACUUGAUUAAACGUUGUUCUUGGGUUAUGAAAUCAUGGUUAGGAUGAAAUACAAUCCUACUCUCUCUCGCUCCAAUCAUAAAAGGAACAAUCCUAUUACGAGUUGUGCCCAUGCCACUGUUUCCACCAUUUCCCUUGUGUUAACCACAUGGACCGAAGGAUAACAGUUAUCAACAUCGUUGCAUUGAGCAAAGCAGUUCAUACAAAUCAUUGUCACUAGUACUAGUAUCAGUUUGCAAAUCGAGCAUUGACAAGUACUACUACGAAUUUGCAAAUCUAGAGAAGUUCACUACUACAAGCACGUUCUGCAACCGAAUGAGACAGUACAGUUCACUGGUAGACUACAUGAAACAAGUAAACUCAUUAAGCUACGCGUGAAGACGGCCAACCAGCUAUGUCACAUGGCGCAAGCUGAUUGGCCGCGGUGAGAAAUCUUUUGGAAAACAUUAGAUGAAUGUGUGGAUUAUUUUUUAAAUGUAUUUUUAGAUGGAGGUGAGGACCUCUGGUAUUUUUCAGAUGGUGGGUUAUGCAAAGUGGCACUCACUGGUAGGCUGUGGUGGUAAUUUACUUUUUUUUUAAAUGAAGAUGAAGAUUUUUUUUAGAUGUUUUUUUAGACAGAGGCGAGAACUCUAUGUAUUUUACAUUCUUAAGAAGUUGAUCCCCACUACAAAGCAUUCUCUCAACAUGCACGUAGUCCACAUCAGCAUGCAUGUCAUGUCAUCAAUUCAAUUACAAUUAUAACGUACAGAGCAGAGUGAAAGCACGACGUUCUGUAUCCAGCCCCCAUCCAUUUCUAGACGUAAAUCACAUCCUUAGAACAAAGCGAACCAGUGGUUUGAGAACUUCCGUGAUGAUGUAUCCCGUGCUGUAACCGGCGAUCUUGCUGUGUCUUAAAUGAAAUACGAGUGUUCCCUUAAAAAAAAGAACAAAACGAAACGCAGGACAUUUCAUUAACACUCAACCGUUUCCAGGCGCAAACCGCGGACUCCUCUAUCUCCCCGGAAAUAAAUAAAACGACGACCCCUCACUACCUCCAACACCAAUCUUUUCCGGACGUGGAGUUUCUACACCUGAGUUCAUAUGCUCCUGCUAUGAACAGUAAAAUAAAUAAAAUAGAAAAUAUUCCAAAAAAUUCUGAAAUUUUUUGUGGCAUACUUUAAGAAAUGUUUGUUAUGCAUGCAAAAUUUUGUCAUGAAAUGACAUUGGUGGAAGCAGGCAUGGUAAAAAAACAAAAACGAUACUCUGAAAAUGUCACUUUCAAACGCAUUUUGAAGCUCUGAUUUUGGUUUUUUUUGCGACGACCUCCACCAAUGUGAUUUCGUGAUGAAAUUUUGCAUGCACAACAAACAUUUCUUAAAGUAUGCCACAAAAAAUUUCAGAAUUUUUUGAAAUGUUUUUCUAUUUUAUUUAUUUUACUAUUCAUAGCAGGAGCAUACGAGCUCAGGUGUAGAAAGGUACUUUCAAUCUUUUCCCCUCUACUAGAUGACCGGUUACGCCAAAUGGCGCAAAGACCCGUUUAAAACCAUGUUCGUGUUGAAAGUAUUCGCAUUUUUUCAACCCGUAUAUUUGAGUACAUUUGGUAAGAACUUGUACCCCUAUAUAUAAAGAAAACUAAAUGCAAAUAUUUUCUUAAGGUAAUAAUGCCACAAAUUAGAUCAUCGGUAGGUCAAGAUAGUUGAGUCUACAAUUAGAAACUCCGAGUAGCUAUAAACUUGCAUUAAAAAAAGAGUAAACAACACAAGUGACACAAUAAAAUGUACUUAAUACAUGAACUCGUGAACAUUGUAUACAAGAGAAGUUAAUAGAAAUAGUGGUCAAUUACAUCAUAUAGUUUGGUCAUAUACUUUUGUGUAUAUAUCGUGAAUGCUACCCCUUUGUGAUCAACUCUUUGUCCUUCGAAUCAAAUGGCACAACUACUGCCCCUUGUGGAAAAAGAAAGGACUAUGUAAUACUCAUAAAUGUAAAAGGAAAACAUCAUGUGGUGCAUCUCAACCUGCGCAAAACAAUGAAAAACAGUACAUGCUAUCUACAUACUCUCAUUGUCUAGCAAAGCAUAAGUAGCUGACGGACCCUGUACAAAAGAAAUGACAAUUAGCAAGAAAGAAGCAUGCCAUCAGCUGUCUACACAACCAUAAAUCAAUAAGUGGCAAAAGCCCCAUCAGAAUUAGCAUUUGCCAUCCAGUUUAUGAGCUAAAGUUGAGCAUUCACCAGUCAAUAAAACAUAUUAAGCAUCAGCUAUAAAACAAACUCUAUUUUGCCAUCCAGUUUAUGAGCUAAAGUGGAAAGCUAUGGUCACAAAUGCAUAAAUAAGCAAUAUAGAAAAUUAGUUAAACAUAUUAUGUUUUUCCCUUGAAUACCUGAAGGAGCCCGCAAACUCAACAAUCCACACCAUGCAUAUAAUAUCUCAAGUAAAAUUCUUUAGGAAAUUCACAGCACACUUCAACCCACUUGAUUUAUACACAUGAACUUAAUGGGAUAUGAGCAUUUACACACAACAAAUCAUGGUUAAUGUGGAACUAAAGCGACAAAUUGAGACAAUCAAAAUCUUACCUUAAUGAAUAAGCCGGGCAAGGAGGAGACUUCAGGGCAACCACUUGUGGACUCUGAACAACAGAAUGACCAUAUUAAUUAAAUAUCACAUUCAGCAUACCCUCAAAUCGACUGAUGUAGGUUAUUGGUCUAAUCUGCAAAAAGAAAAGCUAACAGGGGCUCUUCUCCUUGUGCUAAUACAUACCGAAUUGGAAGGUUGACUUGCCUAAAGUACUGCCCAGCGACAGCAGGCAUAGCACUGACCCAAACAUGUAGUUACAGCUAAUCAAAAGAGGAGAGCAGCAGGAAGGAAGAAGGAACCUGCGGACGUGUGGGUUGUAAAGAACCAUCUCUGGCCCAGCGCGAUGUGAACGAUGACCAGCUGUUCCUUCCGGUGACCCUCUCCCGUCCGCUGCCGCACAUCCCUCUCCUCUUUAUCCAACGCGGUAUUAGUAUAUGACUAUAUAUAUAUAUAUAUAUAUAUAUAUACACCAAAUUAGACUUAGGACAUAAAAUGGGCCAGAGUCCAUAUUAAAGGUCACCUAAUUAAACUCCUAGAGAUUGUAUAGAAAACAAAACUACUGACUACUCUGAUUCAGAGGGAAAAAAUACAGUCGGUACAAUAUGGAAACGAUUUUUGCAGAGUUAGCAGAAUUUCAUUGCCACAAAUUAGUGGACGACCAGAGUGUUUGCCGAUUUACAUAGUUUAGUGCCACAAAUCAUUAACUCCUUUUGUCGUUUUGCCGAUCUCUACUCCGUGGCGCUAGGGUUUGCCGCGGGAGAGGUCGAGGCAGAGGCAAAUUGUUUUACUUUUCAGCAUAUAUAUACGAUCAUACGGUAGUCACACAUAUAAGCAGCACCACAAAAAGAAACAUACAAACACGACACCCGAAAAAAGCAGAAAACAAAAACACGACAAUAAGCAUUAAACAAAUAGGGUAGAAAAGUGCAGCCCUUAGGGAGGAAGGACAAGGACAAACCUUGACCAAAGGAACAGAGAAGGAGCAACCUCGAUGAUUCUUGAGCCUGCAAAAUAAAAGGAAAUAAAGGUUAGCCAAACAAGCCAGUCUAUUCUAUACAUAACACAACAACAAAUCAAAGACAACCUAGCUUUACAUGGCAGAAAUUUUAAGCAAGAGAAAAAUUAUAUAAUAUGAUAUCUAACUCUAUGAAUACAUUAGGAAAUACCUAACACAACAACAAAUCAAAGACAACCUAGCUUUACAUGGAAUAAAUUUCAAGUAAGGGAAAACAUAUAUAAUAUGAUAUCUAACUGUAUGAAUACAUUAGGAAAUACCACUUCCAAAUUAGAGUGCACCAUCCCCAAAACUGGAGGUCUCAAUAUUCAGAAACCACACAUCAUGAUAAUCAGUUGUUGUGCAUAUCCAGUUGAUCAUAACUCACUAGGGCAACCACCUGAGAUCAUCGUUGUUCUCGCACUUUCGGUAGAAGGCAUACCUAAGACGAAAUUAAAACAACAAAGAAUCAGACUUUACAGUAAAGUUUACAUGCAGCAGUAUCAAUAAAAGUUCUUUUGUUCUUUACCUUUGGUAGAAGAGGCAACUGUCUGAGGCUGCCCUAGCAUGAGGUCGAACUGUCGACUGCAGAACUGAAGCGCUAUUGAAAGUAACCACACCACCUGCUCAGUGUACAAAUAACCAUUAUAUCAUAUAUCUGCAAAUUUAUGAUGGAGCGCACGUAAUCCUUUUUGCUGGUCUCAGUGUGAAUUACCUAGCCUGAGAACCAAAUUUCGAAUCAUGGCAUGAUGGCAAGCAAGAAAAGGUGCCAAUUCAUCACCACUACCAAAAUCCUCCACAACCAGCUAACUUUUAUGGCUUCAUGCCAACAUUGGCCAACUCCUUUAACAUGCAGUAGAAACAAAUGAUUUAAUUUAUAUCAUAUAAUAAAAUCUCCGCUCAAGUUUGAAAGUAGCAUAGACCCUCAUGUAAGGAGUAGAAUAAAUUUAAACCAUCAUGCACUUUCUAUCUGAAACCAGGGUCAACCUCUAAAAUCUCUAUAUGGUGUCUUUAUCCUCAAGAAACAGAAAAAUGAGUUAUAUACAUGGAACAUGUACCAAAAGCAAAGCCAGUUAAUUGUUUCAGGCGUGCGGUCCUUGAUGAACAUUUAGUCGAAAGAAGUAGAAUAUUUAACCCAUCACUAAAGUUUAAGUACAGUAUCUGAUUUUUCUGGCCAUGCAAACAUGUAAAUAUUUAGCAGAUAUGUAGACUAAAGUGUCAACUAUAAACCAUUGCCCACAUUUGAAAGAUACAUAAUCAGUCUAGAAUAAGCAUUUGUAGCUAGAUAAAUUACUUAUUUCAAGUUGACUGCUACUACUUCUUUUAGGAAGCAAAUCAUGGCAGGAAGUCAACUAUAAAAUGGCAAGAAUAUGUACAUUCCAUUAGAUAUCAAAAUAUCGACCUUCACUAUCACAACGAGCCACAGAAAGUUAAACUGAAGAGCAGAAAAUUUCAUUAAUGAACCAGAGAUGCGGUGUCAACAUUCUUAAAUUCCAGUUAAUAUUUUUUACAUUAAAAAAGAGUGAUCAUGCAUGCCAUUUUCCCUUCUUGUUAUCCCACUUCCAAGGAUAAAUGAAUUAAUUUUAGUUGCUGACACUCCCCAUUACCGCAGCCCUGCCAGUGCUUGAGGAAUCUGCCAAAGGGAAACCUGCAACAUCAUUAACCUAACAAUUGAUUCUGAAAUAUACUACAACACUAAGUCUGUUUACGAUACCUACACAAAAGAUGCUUUAAUAAUCUCAUAUUUGAUACUACCAUCAUACUGUGCUUGGUCAGGUGAAUGAUCCUCCCAGCUGCCAUAAGAGGAGCUUAACAAAGUAAGCUGACAAAAAAUUUAAGAAACAAGAACAAGCUAAACAUCGCAAGCCAAAACACUUAGGCAUGAUUAGAUAUGGCACUGUUGUCAACAUUGCUUAUCGCAGAAAAAUUAGGGGAUACUUGUUGUUGGUAAAAGUUUACAUUGGAAAAUAUAAUUCUCAGAAUUCUAGCUCAUAUACUUGUAUCCACACAUCAAGAAUUUCAGUACAGAGAUGAUCACUAAGGUAAAAUUCUUUUUCCACUAUUUCCCAUACACAUAAAGCUACAAAGUGUUGAUUUUAGGGAGCUCGGCACCAGGAAUGUACUGGUCAAUAAUGAUAACUUUACAACACAGCAAAAUGUCAUCAAAGAGUACAUCAGCUAGCACAACCAGCAUGUUGACAUUGUUUUCUUGCUCUCUUCUUCAGACUACUCCAAUUGCUCACAUGCUCAUGUCCAAAGCAUUUGUUCUCAACAUCAAGAAGAAACAUUAAAAGAACAAUUUUUCUGCAUGUUCUUAUCAGCAGUAAAUUGGGGCAAAUAUAAGACCAAAAAAGUACAUGUUCUUAAUAAUACACAAAUCCUAUGAGCUACUGUAGUAAGACUAAAAUUUAACACAGUAGAAACAUAUAUAACAUCAACCACCUAGAGAUAGAUUAGAGGGAAACAAGCACCAUGAAGAUAGAGUCAAUAUAGCAAACAUAUAUAGAAUCAAUAGAGUUGGAGACGUACAUGCCAGCCUGCAAGAUCUCUCUCGCACACUAAAAUAACAUGUCCUCCUGUACAACAAAGGGAUAUAAGAAUGGCCCAUAAAACCUAGCGAUGCAGCAGAGGAAGGGAGCAAACCUUAAUCACAGCACACUGCAAGCAACCGAUGGAUUGAACAACACCUGCAGGAAGAACAUGGUAAUGCACAUAUAAAAAAAGGACAGAACAAGGACUGUAUGGACUACAUAUCCUACUGGAAAAGAAGAACCAGUUGGAGGUUAGCAUCAUGGAAGGGACAAAAUUACACUUGGAAAGGUCUAGAGGCAAAAAUAUUACACUUGAAAAAGAAGAAUCUGCAGCAGCUACCGUGUUAGCAAGGAUCAACAAUACCUUGGGGAUUAUUUGCUUCAGCUGGAGCUCGAGGGCAGAUGCUGCCAGUCAUGGGCCCUAUUUGGUUCUUGCCCUGUAGAAGAGUAGGCAGGGCCAUGGUAGAGACAGAGAGAUGCAGAGGCAGUGGUGAAGAAAUCUCCGCUGUCGCCGCUCUCCCUCGCCCUCUACAGGCGCUGACGUACCUUCGGGCGUCGUUCUCUGCCCUGGAAGGAGAGGUCCGUCCUGGAGGUCGCCAUGCCCGGAUCUAGCGGCGGAGGUGGUGGAAACGGAUAGGGACGCGGAGGUCGCCAUGCUCAGGGACAGCGAGCUCUCCUUGUCGGAGAAAGCCACCACCAGCAGGGCACGACAGAGGAGAAGCCUGCCAGAUGAAUGGAUACGGCGGCCUGCGCUCCUCAGCGACGCCGUGGACCACCACGGAGGUGAAGAAGGGAGGCGGCAGCGGGCUGGAGAGAGAGGGAAGGCAGAGGGGGAACGGAAGAGCGCCGGCUGCGGCGGGUCGGCGGGGUCAAAGACGCGGGAGGAGGAGAGAGACAGCGCCUUGAGGGAGAGGCGGUGGAUUGGGGAGAGGCAGCAGAUUGGGGAGAGGAGAGGAGGCAGGGAUUGGGGGAGGUCGGGGCAACGAGGAGGCUCGGUAGGCUUCACCGUGUUUUAUUCUCUUCAUCAAACGGACCCACGGGCACACGGUCCACCCAUCAGUGAUUGAGGCUAGGUAGGGAAUGAGGUGAAAACAGGCGCUAUUUGCAUAAGUCAAGCGCGUGGAUGGCCUGAGAAGGCGUCUGGCCUAGCAAGGUUUAUAUUGUUCCACAACUCCGCCGGCGAGUCCGGUCCGAAGUUGCGGAGCGAGAGCGAGCGUCGUAGACGAAGUAGUCGAAGUAGUCGAAAUAUGCGAAAGUAAAAGUGACACAGGGAGAUAGAGGAGACCAGCUUUAUUAAUCAAUGAUCAGGGGUUACAAUGAUGGCUCCUCGUUGCUUUAUAUAGGGGGUAGGUGGUCAAGGGAUAAGUACCCACUUAACAAAAGAGGGGAAACGGGAGGGGCCGGCCCGUGCGCUUUGCACACGGCCGCCGCCACCCCUCCGGGUUGACCCGGUUUCCCAACACUCCCCCUUGGGUAAUUAUCCGUAUAUCCAUGCCUCAAAACUCCGAAAAACCCAGUGGGAAAAAAUGUGGAGAAAGAGCACACAGUAUACGUUGUUGUAUUGCACGAAUUGCCUCGUCAAAAACCUCGUGUGAGAAACAUCAGGAAAACUCACUCAAGGGAAAAAGAGUACAAUCCACUCAACCAUCAAGUUGAGUACUCGAUCAUCAGGAUUGAGAUUUUAGCGACGAGUUUGUGAAGUUUCUCCCCCUGAACCUUGCAUCUCUCUAAGUCUCAUCAUACCGAUUCCACGCACACACCUCUCUAAGGUUGAUGCCGGUAAUGAUUUAGUGAACAUAUCAGCAAGAUUGUCACAGGACUUAGUAUGCAAAACUCUUACCUCGUUCAACUGUUGCAGCUCAUGCGCAUAGAAGAACUUGGGACUAAUAUGCUUUGUGAGGUUACUCUUCACAUAACCCAUCUGGACUUGUGCAACACAAGCAGCAUUAUCUUCAUAGAUAAUGGUAGGGGUUUGUACGGUGUUCAGCCCACAUGUCUGCUGAAUGUGGCCGAUCAUCCGCCGAAGCAAUACACACUCUUUUGACGCUUCGAAUAGUGCCAUGAUUUCCGAGUGGUUCGUGGAAGUCGACACAAGUGUUUGCUUGGACGAUUUCCAGGAAAACGCAGUUCUACCACAAAGGAAAACAUAUCCAGUCUGCGAUUUGCAAUCAUGCGGGUCCGACAGGUACCCAGCAUCGGCAUAGCCUAUAAUAGAUAGGUCUUGAUUCCUCUUAUAAAAUAGACCAAGAUCUUUGGUCCCUUGCAGGUAACGGAAGACGUCCUUGACACCUUUCCAAUGUCUUUUGGUAGGUUCAGAACUGUACCGAGCAAGCAAACUGACGGCGAACGCAAUGUCUGGCCGUGUACAAUUUGCGAGGUACAUGAGUGCUCCAACUGCACUCAGGUAAGGAACCUCUGGUCCCAGAGUUUCCUCCCCCUCUUCCUUUGGCCUGAACGGGUCCUUGUCUGGCUGUAAAGAUCUUCCGACCAUCGGGGUCUUAGAAGGAUAUGCCUUAUCAAAUCCAAAUCUUUCCAACACCUUCUGGGUGUAGGCCGACUGGUGCACUAGAAUCCCAUCAGGGGAAUGUUCAAGUUGCAGACCUAGACAGAACUUGGUUUUACCCAAAUCCUUCAUCUCGAAUUCCGACAUCAGGUAGGAACUCGCUUCCUCAAUAUCCUCAGGUGUACCGAUUAUGUUUAAAUCGUCCACGUACACCGAGAUUAUACAGAAUCCAUCUUGGGAUCGCCGUAUAAAAACACAUGGGCAAUCUUUAUUGCUCGUGUAGCCCUUCUCAUGAAGGAAAUCACUUAAGCGAUUGUACCACAUUCUACCAGACAGUCUGAGUCCGUACAGUGCCUUUUGAAGUUGAACACUGUAUAGACCCCUAUUUGCUCUAUCAUGGUUCGGAACAGGGAUACCUUCUGGAACCUUCAUGUAUAUGUUCGAAUCCAGGUUACCAUAUAGGUAAGCAGUGACAAUAUCCAUUAGUUUCAUUUUCAAGCCCAUGUUUACUGCCAUCGAGAUCAAGUAUCUAAAGGUAACUCCAUCCAUGACUGGGGAAUAAGUCUCCUCAAAAUCGACACCUGGUCGUUGAGUGAACCCUUGAGCAACGAGCCUUGCUUUGUACCGUACUACCUUAUUAUUUUCAUCUCUCUUUCGAACAAAAACCCACCUAUGGCCAACAGGGCGAAUGUGGGGAGGAGUUCGACAAACUGGUCCGAACACCUUCCUUUUGUUGAGAGAUAAUAAUUCGGCAGUAAUUGCCUGCUGCCAAUCUUUCCAAUCCGACCUUUUCUUGCAAUCAGCGAGCGUGUUAGGCUCAGGGUUAUGAUUGAGGCAAUUUUCGUAGCAAAGUUGAUGUCAACAAUCACCGUUGCUCGGUUCAGGGACUCCCCCGUAUAAAUAUAAUUUAUGGCCAUUUCGUCAUGGAGCGCAUCAGGCGCAAACACUUGCUCUACCAAAUUUCCCAUUAUGGGAGCAAGGUCCUUUAGAUUUCCCGCGCCGAUGUGUGCGCUCACAUCUCCGCUGGGUGUUUCCCCUAUGGGAAAGUUUAAGUCCGGAAUUUCGUGCACUGAAUUUUCCGUACUUGUGCCAGGUCUCGACUGGCUCCCCGUUUCAAUUUGGGGUACUUUGGUGACAGGCUGUGAUAAAUCUCUCUUAUCCUUUUUCGUCGGGCGUCCCCGAGUACUUGGGAUUUGAGAAGCCGGAUUUCUCGUCCUUUUAGGCCUUUGGACGGGAGCGGGCAUACCAUCAUUUUUCUUCGGUAUUUCAACCCUUUCCGGUGCAUUGCGCGCGUGCACAUGCGAUUUUGUCACAGUCUUUAAGUCACUAAAGUGGUCAGGCAGUUGAUUUGCUAAAGACUGCAAAUCUAUUAUCUUUUGGACUUCUCUCUCAGUCUCAGCAGUGCGCGGGUCAUGAGCGUGGAUCCCCGUGGCUUGCCACGUGAUUUCUCGACUUUUAGCAUCAAGGGGUUGAUUCUCUCCCCCUAAAGUCGGGAAAAGAUCCUCGUCAAAAAUGCAAUCAGCAAAACGAGCCGUGUGACAGUCUCCUGUCAUGGGGUCCAGAUACCUGAUUAUGGACACAGUCUCAUAACCAACGUAUAUCCCCGACUUACGGAGCGGGCCCAUCGCCGAUCGCUGAGGGGGUGAUAUUGGUACAUAUACCUGGCAACCGAACCUACGAAGGUGGGAAAUUUUCGGUGCCGACCCUUGCGCAAGUUGAACAAGAGAGUGGAUGUUGUAGGCCGACGGUCGAAAGUUGAUGAGAUUAGCCGCGUGUAACACCGCGUGGCCCCAACAUGUAGUUGGUAAAUUACAACCCUGGAGGAGCGAUCGGGCAAUGAAUUUAAUUCUUUUAAUCAAUGCCUCGGCAAGUCCAUUUUGUGUAUGAACAUGUGGUACCGAGUGCUCAACUUUGAUUCCCAUUGCCAUGCAAUAAUCAUCGAACGCCUUUGAAGUAAAUUCUCCGGCGUUGUCCAUUCGAAUAGACUUUAUACGAUAAUCCGGGAAAUUAUUCCGCAUUUGGAUGAUCUGUGAGAUCAAUUUUGCAAAGGCAUGGUUCCUUGUUGACAGCAGGCAAACAUUGGACCAUUUAGAGGAAGCAUCAAUGAGCACCAUGAAGUACCGAAACGGCCCCGUGAGGGGCUGAAUUGGACCGCAUAUGUCCCCUUGGAUACGUUCCAAGAACGCGGGGAUUUCAUCCCUCACCUUGAGGGGCGAUGGCCUAAUGACUAACUUUCCCUUAGCGCAUGCGGAGCACACGAAAUCAUCAGGAUUCGGGAAGUUCUUCACGUUAACAUUAUGGCCAUGCGAGUUGUUAAUUAUAUUUCUCAUCAUCCUAAGUCCGGGGUGGCCUAACCUAUCGUGCCAGAGGCAGAAGAGUUCAGAGCUUCUAAAGACGGUCUUGAGGGUAGUGUACACGGGCGGUGCUACUAUCUUAGUGUAGUAUAGCCCUGUGUCAAACGAAGGAAGCCUUUCGAUAACAUGUUUACCACCUGCAUCCCGCUUUGUGAUGAGUAGGCAUUCCUUGCCGUUUUCAUCAUCGGUCUCAACAUGGAAACCAUUAGCGCGGAUGUCUCUAAAGCUCAAUAGAGUACGAGUCGACUCCGGGUACAACAACGCAUCAUUAAUGAGCAAAGUUGUUCCCAUGGGGAGUAUAAUAGUGGCUCGUCCGGAGCCAACUAUGUGAGAACCGCAGCCGGCGAUUGUCAUAAUACUUCCCGGAGAUUUUUUAAUGGACUCAAAGUACUUAGUUGUAGGGGAACGCAGCAGAAAACAAAAAAAAAAUCCGACCUACGCACCAGCCCAGGACCACUAUGGAGACUGCAUACAUGGUUUGAUCUUUUUCGUUACCGACUCGUAGCGCAGCGGGAAGUAGAGUCGAUGACGAUCGGCGGUGCAGAUCCCCGCAGCUAGGAUUUACAACCUCCCAACCGCGAGGAUGUAUACCCUCAUCUGCUCCUCAGACAGCCCUCCAGGAGGCGGUCGAACAGCCCCCCGGACGGUGUCGCGGACAGCCCUUCGGGAGGACCUUCGAAACUCGAACGGUCACUCGGACAGCCCUUCGGGAGGACCUUCGAAACUCGGACGGUCACACAGACAGCCCUUUGGGAGGCACUCACGAACCAAGACCGAAACUACGAUCUCUCUACAGAGUUGCACACAUACGGUGUCAUCUAUCCGGCAGGGCUUCGCCGUCCAGAACUAGUUCCUGCCGGAACCCAGACAGCCUUAUGGCUCUACGAAACUCUUUUCGUGGGAGGGAGAGAAGAAGCCAGAUAAUGCAUGGCAUGUGUAUGGGAGCAAGGGAUGAGUGUGGAGGGCUGCCCCUCCACCUCUAUUUAUAGGAAAUCCCAAGGGGGUAGGGUAGUUUCACAAAAAACCCAAAAUGCACAUGAAUGAAGUCCUUCCACAAGGACCUAGGAGUGAAACCAAGGAACAAGAGGGUCCCCAAGGGGGGAUACCCCAUGUGGCCGGCCACACCCCCAUGAGGGGCCCAAAAAAUGGCUCCUAUCCAUCCAUGUCAUCCCCAAGAUCUUUUGGAGCAAAGCCCCAAAAGGUGGCUUUCCAUAAAGUAACCAUAAAGCUGAUUUUCACUAUUCACGACGACAUUUUUCAGCGUCUGAUCGAACUGAAAAUAUUUAUGUGGGCUAAGAACAUUUCUAGUACCCACUAAAAUGAUUUUCAACGCGUUCCGAAACAAUUCCGGUUUUAGUGAUUUUCAUCUGCGAAACGCAUCUGAAGUGGCUCCGGCAGCUCCGGAACAUUUCCGGUUUUUAUCUCAGAAAAUUCCAAAAAGCUUCCAGAAUGAUUCUGGCAUCCUCCAAGAAUUAUCAGGCAUGUGCCGAAACCAAUUUGACUUAAUGGUGUAUCUCGAAACAACUUUUCGGUAUCAUCGAAACUUAUCCGAUGACCUCUCUCUGCGGUACGAUUCCGCUGUCCGAAACUUUUCGGUGUCCGAAACUUUUUCGGUGAUUUUCUCUCAGACUCCCUGUCUAGUAUUCAGCAGAUAGAUGACCCUUAAGCGUGUGACCCUAUAGGUUCGGUGAAGUAUAGACAUGACCCGGAACCCCUUCCGAUCAAUGAUCAACAUCGGAGCCAUGGACACCCAUAUUGACCCCUAUACCCACACGAAUAAAUAUUCGAGUGAACCUCCAGUUGCCGUGUGCUAUUCCUGUUGCUUCGCGAUAUGUUACAAAUACCCGAGGUGAGACAUGUUGGCAUUCCUGUGGAUCAACAACUUGUCCACUAUGCUAGCUACCUCGUUACCGGUAUUGUUCUCUUUUCUCGUUAUCGUGUUCCGGCAUCCCCGUGAUCAAAUCACAAAGUGUCUGGCCAGACGAUGAUGGAUACCGUAACACCGAGAGGGCCCAGAGAUAUCUCUCCAUCGUCAGAGGAGCAAAUCCCAAUCUUGAGCUAUCAAGUUACUUGACACACUUUUCCAUGAACCCGUAAGCCGCUGUAAUAGCCACCCAUUUACGGAUGACGUUUAACAAACCCCAAAGUUCAUGAAGCAAGCAUGAAGAAACUCGAUACUCUCAUGGUCUAAGGAAUCAUGCAAACGUUAACCAUCUCUGUGUUAUGUACCAAUAAACUUGUGACGAAUGAAUCUCAUAGCAUAACAUCAUGCCGGGUCGCUUCAACACAAAUGUUCUCUUAACAUUGUGCUCUCAAGGUUGCUGACAUAGACAUGCCCAUGAUCAGGAAAACAUAACCAUCAUGCAACACUUGAGCUAGUCUUAGAGGCCAGACUAGGAAUACAUUUUACCGUUUAUUAUUCCACACGUGCAUAUGAGUCUUCCUCCGAGCCUCGUGGUUAUUGCAGACUCGAGAACCAUAGCAGUUAUAGCAUGGAACAUAAACAUAAUUAUGAACUCGGAGAUAAAUAAUAUCAUUUAUUAUUGCCUCUAGGGCAUAUCUCCUACAGACUCCCACUUGCACUAGAGUCAAUAAUCUAGUUAAUGCUAAUGCACUUUACACCUGUGGCACACCGGUGUAAAUAUGCUUCGCUUGUGGUAUAGCCUGAUGUCCAACGGAUCUGACGACUUCAGUUCCGUGUGUAUCAUGUCCUCGCGUUUUCACGUUUUCACAAAAUUCAUAUUUUGUGUGGACUUGGCUUUGUAUGUAUGUGAAUCACAGGUCGAACCUGGAUUCCUCAGACUGAGUUAUGGAGCAACUACCUGCAAUAGUGUCCCAUUGUCAAAAGCCAUCUUGGAACUAUACUAAGUUCAUGAAUGAACUAUAUGAUUCAACAUCUUCUUUGUCGCUUCUAAAGCGUCAACAUACUUAGCCCUUGUUAUAGAAUUCGCCACAGUAACUAGUUUGAACAAAUUCCAACUAACUGUGCCACCACAUUGUGUGUUACACAAAACCCUUAACUUAAAUCAAAAAUCGCACGGUGAAAAGAUGAAGACUAUCGAUGUAACAUUUUACAACGAACUCUUCAUGAUCUCCACUUGCAAGAAAACAUAUCAUCAGUACUUACUCUAGUACUCAAUGACAUCUUUCACUGUUGUCCCACGAUCAGUACUUUGAUCACUUUAGUAUCCAUACUCGCAACACCUUGGGAGUAUCGGACAUAUCUGGUUGUUUUACAUACCAUGGAAUACAUGAUUAAUCCAAACACAAAAGUGUGUGGAAUCUGCAUCAUGUAUUUUACUCAUCAGUGUUUUGGGACACCGAGUCUUGCAAAAACUCUUUCCAUGUGACUUUGGCAAGAAUCACUCCUUGGCGUUUUAAAUGCUAAAAGGUUUUAGCAUCUUGUCAAUAUGUAUUCAUUGCUUAGCCCCAUUAGGUAAAUCUAUCUCCAUAGAUCAUCAUGCCUAAUAUUGAGGCUAUUUAGCCUAAGCACUUCAUCGAAAAACUAUUUUCAAAUGAAGUCCUAAUUCGUGUCAAGAAAUUUAUUUCCAAUUACCAAUGUGCCAAGCACAUAAGGUUUUUAGAAAUAUUAUUACGCUCCCACUUACUUUCUUGAAUUACAAGCAUCUUCGUUACCAUUGAUGAAGUCAAAACCCCCUUUGACCAUUUCAUCAAAACACGAAGAUUCCAACUCCAUUUUGCUCUCUUCUGUCCAUUGCUAGAACUCUGAAGUUUGCAUACCUACUAGCAUCCUCUGGAUCGACAAAUUACUUUGGACUAUAUCAUAUACAAGUCCUAGCUUUCAUUUCCAUCAGAUGGAAAUCCUUUUAUCAUCCAUGUUUCAUAUCUCAUGAUUGAAAUAUGUAUUAAUUGCUAGUUCAACCCGAACCGACUUUAAGCAUCUCUACGAUGAAAACAACCUCAUCGUAGUCAACUCUUGAACUUGUUAUUUCAACAAGUCGAGCUUUAUGGAUAAAACAUUUUAUCCGUAUCAGUUUUAAGUUCCAUAAAUAUUCGUUAGACUCUAAGUCUUCCGAAAGGUGUAUCAAGGUUUUAAUCUUGAAUCACUUAUAUGGAAACUAACUUGGGUUGUAUUGGCAUUUAGCCAAUUCCGGAGUCAGGGUCCAUCAACGCUUCCUUGUGUAUCGUAGGUAUAAUGUUGUCUAACAACAAUAUCUCGUUUGCGCACCUGAGAGGUUUGCACGAGCCUUGCCUACGUGGUUCAGCUGCAAGUUCGACCGAAGUUCAUACAUUUUAUUGUAGAGACUUCCGUAUCAGUCGCAGUAGGAAACUCUGGAAUUACUUCCAAGGUCUCUUUCCUUUGAUCUGAUGACGUAGAUACUGUUUAUCUCGUCGAGUUGCACUAUUCUCCCACUCACCUUUUUAAAAGAACCAUUCUCUUUAAAAGCACACCGUUUCGCGGCAAAACUAUUUGCCUCGGUAUAGUGAGGGAGGAAUACCCAACAUUUUGGUAUAACCUACAAAGUAGCACUUGUCUGAUUUGGAAUAGGUUUGUAACCUUUUACACAAGCCCCAUAUUCCAAAUGUUAAGAAAAGAUAUAACAUGGUUGGGCGUACCAUACCAUGGCUUCAUUUCAACAGACCCGAUGUAGCUCUUUUCAGUGUAAAAGCCGCAGUCUCUAAAGCAUCACUUUAAAAAGGAUAAUGGCAAAUUUAUUUAUGUCAUCUUUGACCUUACCAUGUCAUAAAUGGUUAGAUUACAUCUCCACGGACUUUUCACUUGCAGUGGUGUUCCGGGAGGUGCAAGUUAUGAAACCCCUUUCACAACUCAUCAGACAUUCGCUAAACAUGUAACUCAAAUAUUCCUUUGUGCAAUCAAAUUGCAGAAACAUAAUUUUCUUGUUACAAUAACUUCUACUUCAUUUUUGAGAACCUUUCGAAUGAUUUCAAAAGAUCCAGACUUAUGUCUCAUCAAGCAAAUAUCCAUAUAUCUACUUGAGUCAUUUCUGAAGAUAUAUAAAUCCACUACUUGCAACAACAUUUAUUGAACUACACACAUCAAAAUGUAUGAUCACCAAUAAGUUUGUUGCUCGUUCCUUAUGGCCUGUGAACGGUAUUUCAGUCACUUCACUUUUCGGAGAAAAGUUGCAAGUGUCAGAUGAUUCAAAAUCAAACGACUUCAAAAUCCAUCAUAAUGGAAUUUUUCCAUGCGGGUUUCUCCAAUGUGACCAAAUACAGUGCCACACAUGUGUGGUAUUCUCAUAGUCUUGCGACAUUUAGCGUCAGUGUUAUGGAUGUAUUAUAUUACCAUCAAUAUUCAUAACAUACAUCCAUCUUGGAUGGAAGCAUGGCCCUUCAUGUUAUUCAUAAUACUUAACAACAAUUGUUGUUUUUAUGAACAACUCUUUUGCAACAAACAUUGUGCAAUGGGCUAGAGUUUAUGAAACUCUAAAAUGAAUUAUGAAAGUAAACCCAGAGGUAUUGUAUUAUUAUCAAUAUUCAUAACAUACAUCUCAUUCAUAAUGAAAGUAUGGCCCUUGUGUUAUUCAUAACAUCGAACAUAAGAAGUUCUCUUAUGAACAACCUUCUUGCAAGAUACCUUAUGCAAUGGGAUAGAGUUUGUAAAACUCUAAAUGAAUUAUGAAAAUAAAUACAGAUGGCAAUACACCGAUGGAAGGUAUAGUAACAUUUACUAUGUUCCCUGUGUAUACCUUAACCUCAUUUCUAGCUAGUCUUUCAGGCCAUAGUAGUUCUUACAUCAAGUUGCAACAGAAUGCAAUCGAGCGGGCAUUUUUGUGAUGAACUCACAAUACCCAAGAAUUAGUGAUUAACAUGUUUAACCAUAAUUCGCAAGAACUAUAUCUUUGACCAGCCUUCUAUACAUCAAAAACUUGUAUGACAUUCAUACAUGAGCUGGAUAUUCCAGUCUUCUUUCCUUUUGCCUUUAUACUUCUAACAGUUUAACUUUUAGUAUUUCUCCUACUCUCAGAAGAAGCACCCAACUUAAGAGUGGCAUUAGCCCCGGACUUCCUAGGCGUGUAAGUCAUACUAACACCCUUUGGACACUUCCUUUCUCUUUAAGUUGUUGUUUUAUUCACCUUUCAUUAUAUGACAGGCGUUCUUCUGGAUCCCUUUCUCAACAGUCAAAUGCAUAGUAAACACUUUUACUAAUACUUGCAAACAAACAUUGCUUUGUUUAUAUCUGAAAAUAAUUUUCAGUUCCAUGAAUAUCAUAUAACUAUCCCAACUUUCGAAGUUUGGGUUUCAUGGAAGCAAACAUAUUCCACUUGACCAUAACAGAAUUCUAGCUUUUGGAUCGAAGGACGAGAGUCACAUGAUCCAUAGCAUUAGCGGGAGGAUACGGAAAGCAUGCGAUAGGACAAAGUCCUUCUCGGCACUUUUGAGGACAAUCCUCAUAUUACGUUACCAAUCGUAAAGUUUUAACCAGAUAUUUAAUAGCUAUUCAAUUUUAAUAGGGAAGGUGGAAAUGCGAGCCAUUAUUCUACAACUAUUAUGCAAGAAACACUUAGACAGUGUUCAUAAUUAAUUGCACUGAGAAUUAAACAUGUUAAUUCAACAGUGCGCUCCCACUCAAAUCAAUAUCUCUCACAAUUAAUUUUGAGUGAUACAAGAUCCAGACUUCAAUUCAUCGCCAUAGAAUCAUCAUCUCAUAACGGGAAUUUUAAUCGGCAGGCCAACUUGCCGAUCACAUCUCUAUGUGACUCUUGCUCAUCUUUCGAUGCGUGUGUUCCGAGCUCAGGACGAUCCUUCCAUGCACGUCAAGACAACCAAGUGAUCUUGCUGCGAGGUCUGACCUCACCCGCCUCACACUUGUCUAAUCGUUCGUACCCAUGCAUCCAUGGUGCACCCCGAAAAGAUAGGUGCCGUGACGGUGCUACACUUGGGAGAACACUAACUACUUGAUAUUUUAAGUGAGAGAUCACCCUAAUAAAAGCGACUACCGCGCAAUCAAGAAGGGUGCAUCAUAAGGGAUAAACAUCUCAGGCAAUUCAUAAUAGCAUGAUAUGGUAUAGCCCUUUCUGACGGAGAAGUAUUUCAUUUCUUCGUCUUCGGCAUUCGCGUCGGUGGUCACCUUCAUGAAGAUUGCCACCACCUUGUCGAUGCACCAGAUAAUAUUGCUAUCUCUAUAGCUAACAAAAUAAUGCAUUACAACAAGGUUGACAUGCAGGUCAUUAAAAUGCAAUCAUAUGGCUCCAGCCAUCAUGCCGAAUCAUGACACGCAGGUCAUGUUAAUCAAAUUACAUCAUAUAGUCAUCUCAUACAUAAUCGAAUUAGUAUGAGCACUGCUAUACCACAUCACAUGCACAUCCUGCAAAACCAAGUUAGACGCCUCUAAUAGGUUUAUGCAAAAAAUUAUUUUACGUGGCUUCUAAGGUUUUGACUUAAACCGCAUCUACCAACGUUUUAUCAUCAAGUAUGAUUAUUCAGGUUGCUAGAUUAACAUCUCGGGGUGUAUGAAACACGGGAUAAUUAAAUCUCGAGCCCCAUACUAAACUUCGUCAUACGCAUGACCCCCGUGCAGAUCAUAUCUGCAAUGCCCUUUCAUCUGCGAAUUUCAUCUUUCUUUUGACUACGGCAGAACCCAAAGAACUGAUAGCACUUCCAUGAUCAAUCAGGAUCACGGAUUGCCAGAACUUUGUCAAAUUCCACCAUGCUGUCUCGAGAUUGAGCAAACGCAAAUUCUAGGGAAGCAACAAGAACCUCGGGUAACAGAUUUCAUCUGUCACCCGCAUAAAUAAUUUUCAGCAAUAGAUCUCAUCUACUACCUAAUUAUAUUAUGCAAUACCCAUACAUCUCCAUGUAUUCUAGAUCGAAACCUGCAUCUACGCAUAGCACUGCUCUUGAUGCCACUGUAGGGGAACGCAGCAGAAAACAAAAAAAUUCCGACCUACGCACCAGCCCAGGACCACUAUGGAGACUGCAUACAUGGUUUGAUCUUUUUCGUUACCGACUCGUAGCGCAGCGGGAAGUAGAGUCGAUGACGAUCGGCGGUGCAGAUCCCCGCAGCUAGGAUUUACAACCUCCCAACCGCGAGGAUGUAUACCUCAUCUGCUCCUCAGACAGCCCUCCAGGAGGCGGUCGAACAGCCCCCCGGACGGUGUCGCGGACAGCCCUUCGGGAGGACCUUCGAAACUCGAACGGUCACUCGGACAGCCCUUCGGGAGGACCUUCGAAACUCGGACGGUCACACGGACAGCCCUUCGGGAGGCACUCACGAACCAAGACCGAAACUACGAUCUCUCUACAGAGUUGCACACAUACGGUGUCAUCUAUCCGGCAGGGCUUCGCCGUCCAGAACUAGUUCCUGCCGGAACCCAGACAGCCUUAUGGCUCUACGAAACUCUUUUCGUGGGAGGGAGAGAAGAAGCCAGAUAAUGCAUGGCAUGUGUAUGAGAGCAAGGAAUAAGUUUAUGCUCUCAUAGAGCUUACAACCAAAUCGAAUUUAUUCAAUUUUAUUGUAUCAAAGCAUGGAAUCGUGAUAACCAAAGAGGUAUGCUAAGUGGACUCGGUGAAGAAGCCAUUCACUUCCGCCGCAAUCUCCAUACUAGUGAGCUGAUCCUCCUCAGAAAUUAUCUUGGAGGCAGCAUCAAUGUCUAGUGGCGGCGCCGCCGAGGCGGCCAUGUGGUCAACCUCCAUGGCGACGUGGGCCUCGGUAGAGACCGCCAAAGCUGCCGCGAUGGGCACCACGGGGGUCGCCUCUAUAGGCGCAGCAGGGGGAGUAGCAAUCAUCACGGGUGCCGCCAUGGGCGCCGGUGGAGCUCCCUCCUGAACCAAGGCGAGGUGCGUCUCACGCGCCUUUCGAGCCUUAUAUGCAGCAACGACCUCCUGUGGUGCGCGGCACUGGCGGGAGAAAUGCUCCACCGAGCCACAACGGAAGCAGUCCUGAGGCCUUUGCCCUCCCUUGCCCGGCUUGUUUUGCUUAGCCGGGGCGGGGGGGGUGAGGGCCCUUCUUCUUGCCCUUCCGGCCCCUCUUCUUCUGUUGAGGCUUGCGGACUUUGAGAGCAUUCACCUCCUGGCGAGAACUCCCCCCAAGUGGUUGCGCGACAAAGUUCUUUUUGAGAACCUCGUCUUGCGCCUCCGCCACCUGGAGGACGUCAAUCAACUCUGAAUACCUCGUGUAGUUCCCCUGGCGGUAGUUCCGUGAGGACUGAACCGCGUCGGGGUGGAAAGUGGAUAGGGUUUUCUCAAUCUUCUGGGAGUCGGUAAUCUUAGUACCACACAACCGAAGAGUCGUACAAAUCUGGUGCAGAGCCGAAUUGUACUCCCCAACCGUCUUGAAGUCCGCAAACCUCAGACGGAUCCACUCUGCCUCCGCACGUGGCUUCACAGUGUACUUCAGGCGCUCAAACCGCUGCUUAAGAGCGGUCCAAGGCCAGAAGCACUGCGCUCAGCCAUAUACUCAUCUUUCAGAGUAGGUGAUAGGUGAUGACGGAGAAAGUGCAGAGCCUGCGCAUUCUCAGUCUCGAACUUGGGAUCAGUGACGGCUAGCUGGGCCCCCUUACCGAUCGCCCUCAGGAGGGUUUUGCCCUGGAGAAAGAUCUCGCAGUCCGAGGACCAUGACAGGUAGUUCAGCCCUGUCUGGGCCAACUCAGGAAACUCCUUGUGGACAAUUCCGGCCAUCUGCGAUUUAUGCAAAAAUCAUGAGAUUACAGCAGGUAAUCUUUUGCACAAAGCGAUGUUGAUAAACUUAUUCAAUAAAAUGACAUUCCAAUAUUUAAAACAUGCUAUUAUAUGACUUACUAAAUGAUUAAGAGUGCUAAACAAUUAAUCUACAGUGGUAAAAUCAUACAAUAAUAUCAUGUUACAAAAAAUAGCAUGUUAAGCGCAUCUAGUAUGUGAAAACUAGCCCAAAAAUUGAUUUCCCGAGGUAUUUUUAAGCCCAAAUACGCAUUUUCAGCGAAAACAGACAGUUCUAGGGGGUCUACGCGAAAUAUUGCUGCAGGAAUAAAAAUCGCGUGAAAACUGAAAAAUACAGGGGCUAAACCGCAAUUUUACGCGACAGCCGACGCCCCUCUUCAUUUUUUUAGAGGAAUCCCACGGCCGCGGCCCAUCCGGCCCAACAGCCAGCGGGCCGGCCCAGGCACGGCGCUCAGCUCCUGCCCGCAGCGACGCUAGGGUUUCCCCUAGCGCCCAGGGUGCGGCGGCGGCCUGGGGCCGGCCAGUACGCGCGGCNNNNNNNNNNNNNNNNNNNNNNNNNNNNNNNNNNNNNNNNNNNNNNNNNNNNNNNNNNNNNNNNNNNNNNNNNNNNNNNNNNNNNNNNNNNNNNNNNNNNNNNNNNNNNNNNNNNNNNNNNNNNNNNNNNNNNNNNNNNNNNNNNNNNNNNNNNNNNNNNNNNNNNNNNNNNNNNNNNNNNNNNNNNNNNNNNNNNNNNNNNNNNNNNNNNNNNNNNNNNNNNNNNNNNNNNNNNNNNNNNNNNNNNNNNNNNNNNNNNNNNNNNNNNNNNNNNNNNNNNNNNNNNNNNNNNNNNNNNNNNNNNNNNNNNNNNNNNNNNNNNNNNNNNNNNNNNNNNNNNNNNNNNNNNNNNNNNNNNNNNNNNNNNNNNNNNNNNNNNNNNNNNNNNNNNNNNNNNNNNNNNNNNNNNNNNNNNNNNNNNNNNNNNNNNNNNNNNNNNNNNNNNNNNNNNNNNNNNNNNNNNNNNNNNNNNNNNNNNNNNNNNNNNNNNNNNNNNNNNNNNNNNNNNNNNNNNNNNNNNNNNNNNAGCACGGCGGCACCGGCGAUCAGCGGGGUCGCGGCCAGCAGGGCGGCGCGUGCAGCGGGCACGCGAGUGCGGCGACGGCAGUCGAGCGCUUGGCGACGGGGACGUCGUCAUCUGCCUCGGGAUGGCAAGAUCGUGCGUCUUCGGGACGUCACGACGCGUGUACGUCGGGUACAACGCGGCGGUACCGUGAUCAUCUGGAUCACGAUCUGUACCGACUCCCGUAUAGGGUAGUCAACAAGUCUCUCGUGAUCCAAAAACAUCGACAUUGGUCGGCGACGUGUUCGUCCGCUCGGUUUUUGGGAGAGAAAUCCACACCAUAGGUAGAUGUAUCCGAAAAAAUAAUCUAAUCGCAAAAACGGAAUCGUAGUAACGAGAGUAAUCCAUUUUUGCAAAGAGUGGGGAUCGGAUCUUAUACCUCCGCGGGAUCGACGAAAGCCUGCGUGAUGCAGGCUUGACGCAGGCUUGACGGAGAGUUGAUGGAGCGAAGCGUGCUGAUAACGUGUUCCACAACUCCGCCGGCGAGUCCGGUCCGAGGUUGCGGAGCGAGAGCGAGUGUCGUAGACGAAGUAGUCGAAAUAUGCGAAAGUAAAAGUGACACAGGGAGAUAGAGGAGACCAGCUUUAUUAAUCAAUGAUCAGGGGUUACAAUGAUGGCUCCUCGUUGCUUUAUAUAGGGGGUAGGUGGUCAAGGGAUAAGUACCCACUUAACAAAAGAGGGGAAACGGGAGGGGCCGGCCCGUGCGCUUUGCACGCGGCCGCCGCCACCCCUCCGGGUUGACCCGGUUUCCCAACAUAUAUGUUCAAUUCUGUAGGUAGCGUUGGAUGGGUUCCAGUCCAGGGAGCUCCCCCAGCACGAGCGGGUCGCUCUGUAUCACCUCUGCCGCUCUCUGGUAUUUUAUUGGGCUAUGUUCGCGCUGCUGGUGUGGUUCCCAACAUCGCUGGCGGUCGCAGCGCCUUGGUCGUCCAUUACAAUUCUGUCUCCGUUCCGGCCAAGGUAUCUCUGGCACUGCUGGAGGUUUGUUCCGCUCGAUUCCAGCGACACCGAACCGGUUGCUGGCAAGAUUGGAGUCUGGACCUGGCUUUCUUUUCGGCCUCGAAAGACUGGGCAGGGCCUCCGUUCAGAGCAGACAGUUUGGAGGAGCGCUUCAUCCACCUCCCCCAGCAAGCGUUCAACGGGGUGCUGCCCUAGCUGAUUUAGAGCUGAGCUUCUACUGCAGGGAUGGUAGUCUUUUUCAGCAUUCUCAGGUCCCGCAGCUAUGGACGGAAGCCGUCCAAGGUACUCCUUUCUGUCGAUGAUGGUGAAGCCACAUCAUUCAUUGUUGUUUUAGUUUUCUUCAGAGCUACUUACGAGUUGUCCUGUACUUUCCCUGUAGGUACUGCUGUUAUAACACUUCAUACUUUCUGCUACCUCUUGAGCAUGCGUUGGUUUCCCCUUGAAGAGGAAAGGGUGGUGCAACAAAGUAGCGUAAGUAUGUCCCUCAGUUUUUGAGAACCAAGGUAUCAAUCCAGUAGGAGGCCACACGCAAGUCCCUCGUACCUACACAAACAAAUAAGAACCUUGCAACCAACGCGAUAAAGGGGUUGUCAAUCCCUUCACGGCCACUUGCAAAAGUGAGAUCUGAUAGAGAUGAUAAGAUAAUAUUUUUGGUAUUUUUAUGAUAAAGAUUAAAAGUAAAGAAAGCAAAAUAAACGGUGAUAGAAAUAGCUUGUUGACGGGAGAUUAAUAUGAUGGAAAAUAGACCCGGGGGCCAUAGGUUUCACUAGUGGCUUCUCUCAAGAUAGCAUAAGUAUUACGGUGGGUGAACAAAUUACCGUCGAGCAAUUGAUAGAAAAGUGCAUAAUUAUGAGAAUAUCUAGGCAUGAUCAUGUAUAUAGGCAUCACGUCCGCGAUAAGUAGACCGACUACUACCUGCAUCUACUACUAUUACUCCACAAGUCGACCGCUAUCCAGCAUGCAUCUAGAGUAUUAAGUUCAUAAGAACAGAGUAACGCAUUAGGUAAGAUGACAUGAUGUAGAGGGAUAAACUCAAGCAAUAUGAUAUAAACCCCAUCUUUUUAUCCUCGAUGGCAACAAUACAAUAUGUGUCGUUUCCCCUACUGUCACUGGGAUCGAGCACCGCAUGAUUGAACCCAAAGCUAAGCACUUCUCCCAUUGCAAGAAAGAUCAAUCUAGUAGGCCAAACCAAACUGAUAAUUCGAAGAGACUUGCAAAGAUAACCAAUCAUACAUAAAAGAAUUCAGAGAAGAUUCAAAUAUUGUUCAUAGAUAAUCUUGAUCAUAAACCCACAAUUCAUCGGAUCUCGACAAACACACCGCAAAAAGAGUUACAUCAAAUAGAUCUCCAAGAAGAUCAAAGAGAACUUUGUAUUGAGAUCCAAAGAGAGAGAAUACGCCAUCUAGCUAAUAACUAUGGACCCGAAGGUCUGUGGUAAACUACUCACACAUCAUCAGAGAGGCUAUGGUGUUGAUGUAGAAGCCCUCCGUGAUCGAUGCCCCCUCCGGCAGAGUGCCGGAAAAGGCCCCAAGAUGGGAUCUCACGGGUACAGAAGGUUGCGGUGGUGGAAUUAGGUGUUCGUGGUGCUCCUCGAUGGUUUCGGGGUACGUAGGUAAAUAUAGGAGGAAGAAGUAGGUCGGUGGAGCCAUGAGGGGCCCACGAGGGUGGAUGGCGCCCCCCCUGCCUCGUGGCCUCCUCGUUGAUUGCUUGACGUCCACUCCAAGUCCUCUGGAUCACGUUUGUUCUAAAAAUCACGCUCCCGAAGGUUUCAUUCCGUUUGGACUCCGUUUGAUAUUCCUUUUCUGCGAAACACUGAAAUAGGCAAAAAAACAGCAAUUUGCACUGGGCCUUGGGUUAAUAGGUUAGUCCCAAAAAUAAUAUAAAAGUGUAUAAAUAAGCCUAUGAAACAUCCAAAACAGAAUAUAUAUAAUAGCAUGGAGCAAUCAAAAAUUAUAGAUACGUUGGAUACGUAUCAAGCAUCCCCAAGCUUAAUUCCUCCUCGUCCUCGAGUAGGUAAAUGAUAAAAACAGAAUUUUUGAUGUGGAAUGCUACUUAGCAUAUUCUUCAAUGUAUUUCUCUUUAUUGUAGCAUGAAUGUUCAGAUCCGAAAGAUUCAAGAUAAAAGUUUAAUAUUGACAUAAAAAUAAUAAUACUUCAAGCAUACUAACAAAGCAAUUAUGUCUUCUCAAAAUAACAUAGCCAAAGAAAGCUCAUCCCUACAAAAUCAUAUAGUUUGGUCAUGCUUCAUUUUCGUCACACAAGAUGCUCUCAUCUUGCACAACCCCGAUGACAAGCCAAGCAAUUAUUUCAUACUUUUGUAAUCUCAAAGUUUUUUCAACUUUCACGCAAUACAUGAGCGUGAGCCAUGGAUAUAGCACUAUGGGUGGAAUAGAAGAUGAUGAUGGGGGUUGUGUGGAGAAGACAAAAAAGGAGAAAGUCUCACAUUGACGCGGCUAAUCAAUGGGCUAGGGAGAUGCCCAUCAAUUGAUGUCAAUGCAAGGAGUAGGGAUUGCCAUGCAACGGAUGCACUAGAGCUAUAAAUGUAUGAAAGCUCAACAAAAGAAACUAAGUGGGUGUACAUCCAACUUGCUUGCUCACGAAGACCUAGGGCAUUUGAGGAAGCCCAUCGUUGGAAUAUACAAGCCAAGUUCUAUAAUGAAAAAUUCUCACUAGUAUAUGAAAGUGGCAAAACAAGAGACUCUCUAUCAUAAAGAUCAUGGUGCUAAUUUGUAGCACAAGUGUGGAAAAAGGAUAGUAGCAUUGUCCCUUUUUAUGUCUUAUUUUGGGCCUUUCUUUUUUUUGGGCCUUUUUUUGGGAUAAUGCUCUAUUAAUGAUGUUCAUCACACUUCUAUUUAUUUAUAACUCAAUGAUUACAACUCGAUACUUAGAACAAAAUAUGACUCGGUGUACCGGGAAGGGCAAUGAAUCAAGAGUGACAUGUAUGAAAUAAUAUGCAUGGUGGCUUUGCCACAAAUACGAUGUCAACUACAUGAUCAUGCAAGGCAAUAUGACAAUGAUGAUGCGUGUCAUAAUAAACAGGAACGGUGGAAAGUUGCAUGGCAAUAUAUCUCAAAAUGGCUAUGAAAAUGCCAUAAUAGGUAGGUAUGGUGGCUGUUUUGAGGAAGAUAUAAGGAGGUUUAUGUGUGAUAGAGCGUAUCGUAUCACGGGGUUUGGAUGUACCGGCGAAGUUUGCACCAACUCUCAAGGUGAUAAAGGGCAAUAUACGGUACCGAAGAGGCUAGCAAUGAUGGAAGGUUGAGAGUGCGUAUAAUCCAUGGACUCAAUAUUAGUCAUAAAGAACUCACAUACUUAUUGCAAAAAUCUACAAGUCAUCAAAAACCAAGCACUACGCGCAUGCUUCUAGGGGGAUAGAUUGGUAGGAAAAGACCAUCGCUCGUUCCCGACCGCCACUCAUAAGGAGGACAAUCAAAGAAACACCUCAUGUUUCAAAUUUGUCACACAACGUUUACCAUACGUGCAUGCUACGGGACUUGCAAACUUCAACACAAGUAUUUCUCAAAUUCACAACUACUCAACUAGCACAACUUUAAUAUUACCACCUUUAUAUCUCAAAACAACUAUCAAGUAUCAAACUUCUCUUAGUAUUCAAUGCACUUAGAAGUUUUUAUCUUGGAUGCCUAUCAUAUUAGGACUAAUUUUAUAACCAAAGAAAAUUACCAUGCUGUUCUAAAGGACUCUCAAAAUAAUAUAAGUGAAGCAUGAGAGAUCAAUAAUUUCUAUAAAAUAUAACCACCACCGUGCUCUAAAAGAUAUAAGUGAAGCGCUAGAGCAAAAUUGUUUAGCUCAAAAGAUAUAAGUGAAGCACAUAGAGUAUUCUAAUAAAUUCCGAAUAAUGUGUCUCUCUCUAAAAAGAUGUGUACAGCAAGGAUGAUUGUGGUGAACUAAAAAGCAAAGACUCAAAUCAUACAAGACGCUCCAAGCAAAACACAUAUCAUGUGGUGAAUAAAAAUAUAGCUCCAAGUAAAGUUACCGAUGAACGAAGACAAAAGAGGGGAUGCCUUCCAGGGCAUCCCCAAGCUUAGGCUUUUUGGGUUGUCCUUAGAUUUUACCUUGGGGUGCCUUGGGCAUCUCCAAGCUUAGGCUCUUGCCACUCCUUGUUCCAUAAUCCAUCAAAUCUUUACCCAAAACUUGAAAACUUCACAACACAAAACUUAAUAGAAAAUCUCGUGAGCUCCGUUAGCGAAAGAAAACAAAACACCACUUCAAGGUACUGUAAUGAAUUCAUUAUUUAUUUAUAUUGGUGUUAAACCUAAUGUAUUCCAACUUUUCUAUGGUUCAUAAACUCCAUUACUAGCCAUAGAUUCAUCAAAAUAAGCAAACAACACGCGAAAAACAGAAACUGUCAAAAACAGAACAGUCUGUAGUAAUCUGUAACUAACGCAAACUUAUGGAGCUCCAAAAAUUCUAAAAUAAAUUGCUGGACGUGAGGAAUUUAUAUAUUAAUCAUCUUCAAAAAUAAUAAACUAAAUAGAACUCUCCAGUAAAAAGUUGUAGCUAAUCUCGUGAGCGCUAAAGUUUCUGUUUUUUACAGCAAGAUCGCAAAGACUUUCCCCAAGUCUUCCCAAAGGUUCUACUUGGCACAAACACUAAUUAAAAACACAAAAACACAUCUAAAAAGAAGCUAGAUGGAUUUUUUAUUCCUAAACAGAACCAAAAAGCAAAAAACUAAAAUAAAAUUGGGUUGCCUCCCAACAAGUGCUAUCGUUUAACGCCUUAGCUAGGCAUAAAGGCAAGGAUAAAUCUAGGUAUUGCCAUCUUUGGGAUGCAAUCCAUAAGUGACUCUCAUGAUAGAUUCAUAAGGUAAUUUUAUUUUCUUUCUAGGAAAGUGUUCCAUGCCUUUCCUUAACGGAAAUUGGAAUCUAAUAUUUCCUUCCUUCAUAUCAAUAAUUGCACCAAUCGUUCUAAGGAAAGGUCUACCAAGAAUAAUAGGACAUGAAGGAUUGCAAUCUAUAUCAAGAACAAUGAAAUCUACGGGCACAUAAUUCCUAUUUGCAAAAAUAAGAACAUCAUUAAUUCUUCCCAUAGGUUUCUUAAUGGUGGAAUCCGCAAGGUGCAAGUUUAAAGAACAAUCAUCAAAUUCACGGAAAUCUAGCAAAUCACACAAAGUUUUUGGAAUUGUGGAAACACUAGCACCCAAAUCACACAAAGCAUAGCAUUCAUGAUCCUUAAUUUUAAUUUUAAUAGUAGGUUCCCACUCAUCAUACAGUUUUCUAGGGAUAGAAACUUCCAAUUCAAGCUUUUCUUCAUAAGAUUGCAUUAAAGCAUCAACGAUAUGUUUAGUAAAAGCCUUAUUUUGACUAUAAGCAUGCGGAGAAUUUAGCACGGAUUGCAACAAGGAAAUACAAUCUAUUAAAGAACAAUUAUCAUAAUUAAAUUCCUUGAAAUCCAAGAUAGUGGGUUCAUUGCUAUCUAAAGUUUUGACCUCUUCCAUCCCACUUUUACCAAAUUUUGCAUCAAGAUCUAAAAACUCCGAAUCAUUGGGACGCCUUUUAACUAAACUUGACUCAUCUCCAGUCCAAUCAUUAUCAAAAUUCAUAUUGCAAAACAGAGAUUUAAUAGGGGACACAUCAAUUACUUUUAGAUCUUCAUCCUUAUUACCCUCCAAAUCUUCAGAUCGUGGAGGGGAAUAUUUGAGUCACGAAUUUGGCACGCACUUAAGGAAAUGUGGAAUUGUUUCACAACUCACGCCGCCUAGAACACCUCAGCGUAAUGGUGUGUCCGAACGUUGUAAUCGCACUCUAUUAGAUAUGGUGCGAUCUAUGAUGUCUCUUACCGAUCUACCGCUAUCAUUUUGGGGUUAUGCUUUAGAGACUGCCGCAUUCACUUUAAAUAGGGCUCCGUCGAAAUCAGUUGAGACGACACCGUAUGAAUUAUGGUUUGGGAAGAAAUCUAAGCUGUCAUUUAUGAAAGUUUGGGGAUGCGAUGCUUAUGUCAAGAAAUUCAACCUGAAAAGCUCGAACCCAAAUCGGAAAAAUGCGUCUUCAUAGGAUACCCUAAGGAAACUAUUGGGGAUACCUUCUACCUCAGAUCCGAAGGCAAGAUCUUUGUUGCCAAGAAUGGAUCCUUUCCAGAGAAAGAGUUUCUCUCGAAAGAAGUAAGUGGUAGGAAAGUAGAACUUGAUGAGGUAUUGCCUCUUGAACCGGAGAGUAGCGCAGCUUAGGAAGAUGUUUCUGUGGUGCCUGCACCGACUAGAGAGGAAGUUAAUGAUGAUGAUCAUGAAACUUCAGAUCAAGUUGCUACAGAACUUCGUAGGUCCACAAGGACAUGUUCCGCACCAAAGUGGUACAGCAACCCCUGUCCUAGAAAUCAUGUUGUUAGACAAUGGUGAACCUUCGAACUAUGAAGAAGCGAUGGCGGGCCCGGAUUCCAACAAAUGGCUUGAAGCCAUGAAAUCCGAGAUAGGAUCCAUGUAUGAAAACGAAGUAUGGACUUUGACAGACUUGCCCGAUGAUCGGCAAGCCAUAGAGAAUAAAUGGAUCUUUAAGAAGAAGACAGACGCGGAUGGUAAUGUGACCAUCUAUAAGGCUCGGCUUGUCGCUAAGGGUUAUCGGCAAGUUCAAGGGGUUGACUACGAUCAGACCUUCUCACCCGUAGCGAAGCUGAAGUCCGUCCGAAUCAUGCUAGCAAUUGCCGCAUUCUAUGAUUAUGAGAUAUGGCAAAUGGACGUCAAAACGACAUUCCUUAAUGGUUUCCUAAAGGAAGAAUUGUAUAUGAUGCAGCCGGAAGGUUUUGUCGAUCCUAAGAAUGCUGACAAGGUAUGCAAGCUCCAGCGCUCAAUCUAUGGGCUGGUGCAAGCAUCUCGGAGUUGGAACAUUCACUUUGAUGAGAUGAUCAAAGCGUUUGGGUUUACACAGACUUAUGGAGAAGCUUGUGUUUACAAGAAAGUGAGUGGGAGCUCUAUAGCAUUUCUCAUAUUAUAUGUGUAUGACAUACUAUUGAUGGGAAAUGAUAUAGAAUUCUUGGAAAGCAUAAAGGCCUACUUGAAUAAGUGUUUUUCAAUGAAGGACCUUGGAGAAGUUGCUUACAUAUUUGGCAUCAAGAUCUAUAGAGAUAGAUCGAGACGCCUCAUUGGUCUUUCACAAAGCACAUACCUGAUAUUGAAGAAGUUCAAUAUGGAUCAGUCCAAGAAGGGGUUCUUGCCUGUAUUGCAAGGUGUGAGAUUGAGCACAGCUCAAUGCCCGACCACGGCAGAAGAUAGAGAAAAGAUGAGUGUCAUCCCCUAUGCCUCGGCCAUAGGGUCUAUUAUGUAUGCCAUGCUGUGUACCAGACCUGAUGUGAACCUUGCCAUAAGUUUGGUAGGAAGGUACCAAAGUAAUCCCGGCAUGGAACACUGGACAGCGGUCAAGAAUGUCCUGAGGUACCUGAAAAGGACUAAGGAUAUGUUUCUCGUUUAUGGAGGUGAUGAAGAGCUCGUCGUAAAGGGUUAUGUCGAUGCUAGCUUCGACACAGAUCUGGAUGACUCCAAGUCGCAAACCGGAUACAUGUAUAUUUUGAAUGGUGGGGCAGUCAGCUGGUGUAGUUGCAAGCAAAGCGUCGUGGCGGGAUCUACAUGUGAAGUGGAGUACAUAGCAUCCUUAGAGGCAGCACAGGAAGCAGUCUGGAUGAAGGAGUUCAUCACCGACCUAGGAGUCAUUCCCAAUGCGUCGGGCCCAAUGACACUCUUCUGUGCCGGAGAACUGCAAGCUCCACCACCACGCCAUCGUGUUGCGGAGUUCUUCCUCAACUUCUCCUUCCCCCUUGCUGGAUCAAGAAGGAGGAGACGUCCCCGUGCUGCACGUGUGUUGAACGCGGAGGCGCCGUUGUUCGGCGCUUAGAUCGGAAUCAACCGCGAUCUGAAUCGCUGCGAGUACGACUCCUUCAUCCGUGUUCUUGUAACGCUUCCGCGUCACGAUCUUCAAGGGUAUGAAGAUGCACUCCCCUAUCUCUCGUUGCUAGUCUCUCCAUAGAUUGAUCUUGGUGAUGCGUAGAAAUUUUUUAAUUUCUGCAACGAUCCCCAACAGUGGCAUCAUGAGCUAGGUCUAUGCGUAGUUUCUAUGCACGAGUAGAACACAAGUUGUUGUGGGCAUCGAUUUUGUCAAUUUACUUGCCGUUACUAGUCCGAUCUUGAUUCGGCGGCAUCGUGGGAUGAAGCGGCCCGAACCGACCUUACACGUACGCUUACGUGAGACAGGUUCCACCGACUGACAUGCACUAGUUGCAUAAGGUGGCUAGCGGGUGUCUGUCUCUCCCACUUUAGUCGGAUCGGAUUCGAUGAAAAGGGUCCUUAUGAAGGGUAAAUAGAAAUUGGCAUAUCACGUUGUGGUUUUGGCGUAGGUAAGAAACGUUCUUGCUAGAAACCUAUAGCAGCCACGUAAAAACUCGCAUAAACAAUUAGAGGACGUCUAACUUGUUCUUGCAGCAUAUGCCGUGUGAUGUGAUAUGGCCAAAAGGAUGCGAUGAAUGAUAUAUGUGAUGUAUGAGAUUGAUCAUGUUCUUGUAAUAGGAAUCACGACUUGCAUGUCGCUGAGUAUGACAACCGGCAGGAGCCAUAGGAGUUGUCUUAUUUAUUGUAUGACCUGCGUGUCACUGAAAACGCCAUGUAAUUACUUUGCUUUAUUGCUACCGUUAGCCAUAGUAGUAGAAGUAACAGUUGGCGAGACAACUUCAUGAAGACACGAUGAUGGAGAUCAUGGUGUCAUGCCGGUGACGAUGAUGGUCAUGGCGCCCCGAAGAUAGAGAUCAAAAGGAGCAAAAUGAUAUUGGCCAUAUCAUGUCACUAUUUGAUUGCAUGUGAUGUUUAUCAUGUUUUUACAUAUUAUUUGCUUAGAAUGACGGUAGCUUAAAUAAGAUGAUCCCUCGCAAUAAUUUCAAGAAAGUGUUCCCCCUAACUGUGCACCGUUGCGAAGGUUCGUUGUUUCGAAGCACCACGUGAUGAUCGGGUGUGAUAGAUUCUAACAUUCGAAUACAACGGGUGUAAGCCAGAUUUACACAUGCAAAACACUUAGGCUGACUUGAUGAGCCUAGCAUGUACAGACAUGGCCUCGGAACACGAGAGACCGAAAGGUCGAACAUGAGUCGUAUGGUAGAUACGAUCAACAUGAAGAUGUUCACCGAUGAUGACUAGUCCGUCUCACGGGAUGAUCGGACACGGCCUAGUUGACUCGGAUCAUGUAUCACUUAGAUGACUAGAGGGAUGUCUAUCUGAGUGGGAGUUCAUUAAAUAAUUUGAUUAGAUGAACUUAAUUAUCAUGAACAUAGUGAAAAUCUUUGCAAUAUGUCUUGUAGAUCAAAUGGCCCACGCUAAUGUUGCCCUCAACUUCAACGCGUUCCUAGAGAAAACCAAGCUGAAAGACGAUGGUAGCAACAAUACGGACUGGGUCCGUAACUUGAGGAUCAUCCUCAUAGCUACCAAGAAAUCAUAUGUCCUUGAUGCACCGCUAGGUGAAGCACCUGUUUUCCCAGCAACUCAAGAUGUUAUGAACGCCUGGCAGUCGCGUAGUGAUGAUCACUCCCUGGUUCAGUGUGGCAUGCUUUACAGCUUAGAAUCGGGGCUCCAAAAGCGUUUUGAGCAGCACGGAGCAUAUGAGAUGUUCCAAGAGCUGAAAAUGGUUUUCCAAGCUCAUGCCCGAGUUGAGAGAUAUGAAGUCUCCAAAAAGUUCUACAGUUGUAAGAUGGAGGAGAAUAGUUCUGUCAGCGAGCACAUACUCAAAAUGUCUGGGUUGCACAACCGCUUGUCUCAGCUGGGAGUUAAUCUCCCGGAUGACGCGGUCAUUGACAGAAUCCUUCAGUUGCUGUCACCUAGCUACAAGAGCUUUGUGAUGAAUUUCAAUAUGCAGGGGAUGGAGAAAACCAUUCCUGAGGUAUAUUCAAUGCUGAAAUCAGCGGAGGUGGAGAUAAAAAAGAACAUCAAGUGUUGAUGGUCAAUAAAACCACUAGUUUCAAGAAAGGCAAGGGUAAGAAGAACUUCAAGAAGGACGGCAAGGGAGUUGCCGCGCCCGGUAAGCCAGUUGCCGGGAAGAAGCCAAAGCAUGGACCCAAACCUGGGACUGAGUGCUUUUAUUGCAAGGGAAACGAUCACUGGAAUUGGAAAUGCCCCAAGUACUUAGCGGAUAAGAAGGCCGGAAAUACCAAAGGUAUAUAUGAUAUGCAUGUUAUUGAUGUGUACCUUACCAGCACUCGUAGUAGCUCCUGGGUAUUUGAUACCGGUGCGGUUGCUCAUAUUUGUAACUCAAAACAGGAGCUGCUGAAUAGGCGGAGACUGGCGAAGGACGAGGUGACGAUGCGCGUCGGGAAUGGUUCCAAGGUCGAUGUGAUCACCGUCGGCACGCUACCUCUACAUUUACCUACGGGAUUAGUUUUAAACCUCAAUAAUUUUUAUUUAGUGCCAGCUUUGAGCAUGCACAUUGUAUCUGGAUCUCGCUUAAUGUGAGAUGGCUACUCAUUUAAAUCUGAGAAUAAUGGUUGUUCUAUUUAUAUGAGAGAUAUGUUUUAUGGUCAUGCCCCGCUGGUCAAUGGCUUAUUCUUAUUGAAUCUCGAACGUGAUGUUACACAUAUUCAUAGUGUGAAUGCCAAAAGAUGUAAGGUUGAUAAUGAUAGUCCCACAUACUUGUGGCACUGCCGCCUUGGUCACAUUGGUGUCAAACGCAUGAAGAAACUCCAUGCAUAUGGACUUUUGGAGUCUCUUCAUUACGAAUCAUUUGACACGUGCGAACCAUGCCUCAUGGGCAAAAUGACCAAGACACCGUUCUCCGGAACAAUGGAGCGAGCAACCAACUUAUUGGAAAUCAUACAUACUGAUGUGUGCGGUCCAAUGAGCGUUGAGGAUCGCGGUGGUUAUCGUUAUGCUCUCACCCUCAGUGAUGACUUAAGUAGAUAUGGGUAUGUCUACUUAAUGAAACACAAGUCUAAGACCUUUGAAAAGUUCAAGGAAUUGCAUAGUGAGGUUGAGAAUCAACGUGACAGGAAAAUAGAGUUCUUACGAUCAGAUCAUGGAGGGGAAUAUUUGAGUCACGAAUUUGGCACGCACUUAAGGAAAUGUGGAAUUGUUUCACAACUCACGCCGCCUGGAACACCUUAGCGUAAUGGUGUGUCCGAACGUCAUAAUCACACUCUAUUAGAUAUGGUGCGAUCUAUGAUGUCUCUUACCGAUCUACCGCUAUCAUUUUGGGGUUAUGCUUUAGAGACUGCCGCAUUCACUUUAAAUAGGGCUCCGUCGAAACCCGUUGAGACGACACCGUAUGAAUUAUGGUUUGGGAAGAAACCUAAGCUGUCGUUUCUGAAAGUUUGGGGGUGCGAUGCUUAUGUCAAGAAAAUUCAACCUGAAAAGCUCGAACCCAAAUCGGAAAAAUGCGUCUUCAUAGGAUACCCUAAGGAAACUAUUGGGUAUACCUUCUACCUCAGAUCCGAAGGCAAGAUCUUUGUUGCCAAGAAUGGAUCCUUUCUAGAGAAAGAGUUUAUCUCGAAAGAAGUAAGUGGUAGGAAAGUAGAACUUGAUGAGGUAUUGCCUCUUGAACCGGAGAGUAGCACAGCUCAGGAAGAUGUUUCUGUGGUGCCUGCACCGACUAGAGAGGAAGUUAAUGAUGAGAUCAUGAAACUUCGGAUCAAGUUGCUACUGAACUUCGUAGGUCCACAAGGACACGUUCCGCACCAGAGUGGUACGACAACCCUGUCCUAGAAAUCAUGUUGUUAGACAAUGGCGAACCUUCGAACUAUGAAGAAGCGAUGGCGGGCCCGGAUUCUGACAAAUGGCUUGAAGCCAUGAAAUCCGAGAUAGGAUCCAUGUAUGAAAACGAAGUAUGGACUUUGACAGACUUGCCCGAUGAUCGGCAAGCCAUAGAGAAUAAAUGGACCUUUAAGAAGAAGACAGACGCGGAUGGUACUGUGACCAUCUAUAAGGCUCGGCUUGUCGCUAAGGGUUAUGGAAAAGUUCAAGGGGUUGACUACGAUGAGACCUUCUCACCUGUAGCGAAGCUGAAGUCCGUCUGAAUCAUGUUAGCAAUUGCCACAUUCUUGUUGGCUCCGUAGCAUAAUUUAAAAUUUUCCUACGCUCACCAAGAUGCAUCUAUGGAGUCUACUAGCAACGAGGGGAUAGGAGUGCAUCUACAUACCCUUGUAGAUCACGAGCGGAAGCGUUCCAAUGAACGUGGAUGACGGAGUCGUACUCGCCGUGAUCCAAAUCACCGAUGACCGAGUGCCGAACGUACGGCACCUCCGCGUUCAACACACGUACGGUGCAGCGACGUCUCCUCCUUCUUGAUCCAGCAAGGGGGGAGGAGAGGUUUAUGGAGAUCCAACAGCAUGACGGCGUGGUGGUGGAUGUAGCGGGUCUCCGGCAGGGCUUCACCAAGCUUCUGCGAGAGAGAGAGAGAGAGAGGUGUUGCAGGGGAGGAGGGAGGCACCCAAGGCUUAGAUAUUGCUGCCCUCCCUUCCCCCCACUAUAUAUAGGGCCAAGGGAGGGGGGGGGGCGCAGCCUUGCCCCUUCCUCCAAGGAAGGGUGCGGCCAGGGGGGAGUCCUUCCCCCCCAAGGCACCUCGGAGGUGCCUUCCCCCUUUAGGACUCUCCCUUUUUUCUUAUCUCUUGCGCAUGGGCCUCUUGCGGCUGGUGCCCUUGGCCCAUAUAGGCCAAGGCGCACCCCUUACAGCCCAUGUGCCCCCCUGGGGCUGGUGGACCCCCGGACCCCUUUCGGCACUCCCGGUACAAUACCGAUAAAGCGCGAAACUUUUCCGGCGACCAAAAUAAGACUUCCCAUAUAUAAAUCUUUACCUCCGGACCAUUCCGGAACCUCUCGUGACGUCCGGGAUCUCAUCCGGGACUCCGAACAACUUUUGGGUUUCCGCAUACAUAUAUCUCUACAACCCUAGCGUCACCGGACCUUAAGUGUGUAGACCCUACGGGUUCGGGAGACAUGCAGACAUGACCGAGACGCCUCUCCGGUCAAUAACCAACAGCGGGAUCUGGAUACCCAUGUUGGCUCCCACAUGUUCCACGAUGAUAUCAUCGGAUGAACCACGGUGUCGAGGAUUCAAUCAAUCCGUAUGCAAUUCCCUUUGUCAAUCGGUAUGUUACUUGCCCGAGACUCGAUCGUCGGUAUCCCAAUACCUUGUUCAAUCUCGUUACCGGCAAGUCUCUUUACUCGUACCGCAAUGCAUGAUCCCGUGACUAACGCCUUAGUCACAUUGAGCUCAUUAUGAUGAUGCAUUACCGAGUGGGCCCAGAGAUACCUCUCCGUCACACGGAGUGACAAAUCCCAGUCUCGAUCCGUGCCAACCCAACAGACACUUUCGGAGAUACCCGCAAUGCACCUUUAUAGUCACCCAGUUACGUUGUGACGUUUGGCACACCCAAAGCACUCCUACGGUAUCCGGGAGUUGCACGAUCUCAUGGUCUAAGGAAAAGAUACUUGACAUUGGAAAAGCUCUAGCAAACGAAACUACACGAUCUUUUAUGCUAUGCUUAAGUUGGGUCUUGUCCAUCACAUCAUUCUCCUAAUGAUGUGAUCCCGUUAUCAAUGACAUCCAAUGUCCAUAGUCAGGAAACCAUGACUAUCUAUUGAUCAACGAGCUAGUCAACUAGAGGCUUACUAGGGACAGGUUGUGGUCUAUGUAUUCACACAUGUAUUACGAUUUCCGGACAAUACAAUUAUAGCAUGAAUAAUAGACAAUUACCAUGAACAAAGAAAUAUAAUAAUAACCAUUUAUUAUUGCCUCUAGGGCAUAUUUCCAACAGUCUCCCACUUGCACUAGAGUCAAUAAUCUAGUUCACAUCACCAUGUGAUUAACACUCACUGGUCACAUCACCAUAUGACCAACAUCUAAAGAGUUUACUAGAGUCAACGAUCUAGUUCACAUCACUAUGUGAUUAUCACUCAAUGUGUUCUGGUUUGGUCAUGUUAUGCUUGUGAGAGAGGUUAUUAGUCAACGGGUCUGAACCUUUCAGAACCGUGUGCUUUACGAAUAUCUAUGUCAUCUUUGUGGAUGCUACCACGCGCUAUUUGGAGCCAUUUCAAAUAAUUGCUCUACUAUACGAAUCCGGUUUACUACUCAGAGUCAUCCGGAUUAGUGUCAAAGUUCGCAUCGACGUAACCCUUUACGACGAACUCCUUUCCACCUCCAUAAUCGAGAAAAUUCCUUAAUCCACUAGGUGCUAAGGAUAAGUUCGACCGCUGUCAUGAGAUCCUUUCCCGGAUCACCAUUGUACCCUCUUGACCAACUCAUGGCAAGGCACACUACAUGUGCGGUACACAGCAUAGCAUACUAUAGAGCCUAUGUCUAAAGCAUAGGGGACGACCUUCGUCCUUUCUCUAUCUUCUGCUGUGGUCAGGUCUUGAGUCUCACUCAAUACUCACACCUUGUAACACAGCCAAGAACUCCUUCUUUGCUGAUCUAUUUUGAACUCUUUCAAAAUCAUGUCAAGGUGUGCUGUCUUUUGAAAGUAUCAUCAGGCGUCUUGAUCUAUCUCUAUGGAUCUUGAUGCCCAAUAUGUAAGUAGCUUUAUCCAGGUCUUCCUUUGAAAAACUCCUUUCAAACAACCCUUUAUGCUUUCCAGAAAUUUUACAUCAUUUCGGAUCAUCAAUAUGUCAUUCACAUAUACUUAUCAGAAAUGUUGUAGCGCUCCCACUCACUUUAUUGUAAAUACAAGUUUCUAACAAACUUUGUAUAAACCCAAAAACUUUGAUCACUCCAUCAAAGCGUAUAUUCUGACUCCGAGAUGCUUGCUCUAAUCCAUGGAAGGAUCGCUGGAGCUAGCAUACCUUUUAGCAUCCUUAGGAUCGACAAAACCUUUCUGAUUGUAUCACAUACAACCUUUCCUUACGAAAACUGGUAAGGAAACUUGUUUUUGACAUCCAUCUGCCAGAUUUCAUAAAUGUAGCUAAUGCUAACAUGAUUCCGACGGACCUAAGCAUCGCUACGGAUGAGAAAAACUCAUCGUAGUCAACUCCUUGAACUUGUGAAAAUACUCUUUGCCACAAGUCGAGCUUCAUAGACGGUAACAUUACCGUCCAUGUCCGUCUUCUUCUUAAAGAUCCAUUUAUCUCAAUGGCUUGCCGAUCAUCGGGCAAGUUCACCAAAGUCCAUGCUUUGUUCUGAUACAUGGAUUCUAUCUCGGAUUUCAUGGCCUCGAGCCAUUCGUCGGAAUAUGGGCCUACCAUCACUUCUCCAUAGCUCGUAGGUUCAUUGUUGUCUAGCAACAUGACUUCCAAGACAGGAUCACACAUUACUCUGAAGUAGUGCGCAUCCUCGUCAUCCUACGAGGUUUGGUAGUGACUUGAUCCGAAGUUUCAUGAUCACUAUCAUAAGCUUCCACUUCAAUUGGUGUAGGUGCCACAGGAACAACUUCCUGUGCCCUGCUACACACUAGUUGAAGCGACGGUUCAAUAACCUUAUCAAGUCUCCACCAUCCUCCCACUCAAUUCUUUCGAGAGAAACUUUUCCUCGAGAAAGGACUCGUUUCUAGAAGCAAUUACUUUUGCUUCCAGAUAGGAGGUAUACCCAACUGUUUUUGGGUAUUCUAUGAAGAUGCAUUUAUCCUCUUUGGGUUCGAGCUUAUCAGCCUGAAACUUUUUCACAUAAGCAUCGCAGCCCCAAACUUUUAAGAAACGACAACUUAGGUUUCUAUACACGGUGUCGUCUCAACGGAAUUGCGUGGUGCCCCUUUUAAAGUGAAUGCGGUUGUCUCUAAUGCCUAACCCAUAAAUGAUAGUGGUAAUUUGAUAAGAAACAUCAUGGUAUGCACCAUAUCCAAUAGGGUGCAGUUAUGAUGUUCGGACACACCAUCACACUAUGGUGUUCCAGGCGGUAUUAAUUGUGAAACACUUUCCACAAUGUCUCAAUUGUGUGCCAAACUCGUAUCUCAGAUACUCAUCUCUAUGAUCAUAUCACAGACAUUUUAUCCUCUUGUCACGACGAUCUUCAACUUCACUCUGAAAUUGCUUGAACCUUUCAAUAAUUCAGACUAGUGUUUCAUCAAGUAAAUACACUCAGCAUCUACUCAAAUCAUCUGUGAAGUAAGAACAUAACGAUAUCCACUGCAUGCCUCAGCAUUCAUUGGACUGCAUACAUCAAAAUGUAUUACUUCCAAUAAAUUGCUCUCUUGUUCCAUCUCACUGAAAAUGAGGCCUUUCAGUCAUCUUGCCCAUGUGGUAUGAUUUGCAUGUCUCAAGUGAUUCAUAAUCAAGUGAGUCCAAACGAUCCAUCUGUAUGGAGUUUCUUCAUGCAUAUAUACCAAUAGACAUGGUUCGCAUGUCUCAAUCUUUUCAAAAAUGAGUGAGUCCAAAGAUCCACCUACAUGGAGCUUCUUCAUGCGUUCUACACCAAUAUGACUCAAGUGGCAGUGCCACAAGUAUGUGGUACUAUCAUUACUAUCUUAUAUCUUUUGGCAUGAACAUGUGUAUCACUACGAUCGAGAUUCAUUUUAGGUGCAAGACCAUUGAAGGUAUUAUUCAAAUAAACAGAGUAACCAUUAUUCUCCUUAAAUGAAUAACCGUUUUGCGGUAAACAUAAUCCAAUCAUGUUCAGCGCAACCACCAAAUCUCGAUGGUAGAGGGAGCUUGCGAUGCUUGAUCACAUCAACCUUUGAAACACUUCCAACACAUAUCGUCAUCUCACCUUUAGCUAGUCUCCAUUUAUUCCGCAGCUUUUAUUUCGAGUUACUAACACUUAGCAACCGAACCAGUAUCUAAUACCCUGGUGCUGCUAGGAGUACUAGUAAAGUACACAUUCAUAUAACGUAUAUCCAAUAUACUUUGUCGACCUUGCCUGCCUUCUCAUCUACCAAGUAUCUAGGGUAGUACUGCUUCAGUGACCGUUCCUCUCAUUACAGAAGCACUUAGUCUCGGGUUUGGGUUCAACCUUGGGAUUCUUCACUAGAGCAGCAAACGACUUGCUGUUUCAUGAAGUAUCCCUUUUGCCCUUGCCCUUCUUAAACUAGUGGUUUUACUAACCAUCAACAAUUGAUGCUCCUUCUUGAUUUCUACUCUCGCGGUGUCAAACAUCGCAAAUAGUUCAAGGAUCAUCAUAACUAUCCUUGAUAUGUUAUAGUUCAUCACGAAGCUCUACUAGCUUGGUGGCAGUGACUAUGGAGAACUAUCACUAUCUCAUCUGGGAGAUUAACUCCCACUCGAUUCAAGCGAUUGUGGCACUCAGACAAUCUGAGCACACGCUCAACGAUUGAGCUUUUCUCCCUUAGUUUGCAGGCUUAAGAAACUUGUCAGAGGUCUCAUACCUCUUGACGUGGGCACUAGUCUGAAAUCCCAAUUUCAGUCUUCGGAACAUCUCACAUGUUCUGCGACGUUUCAGAAAUGUCUUUGGUGCCACAAUUCUAAACCGCACCGAACUAUCACGUAGUUAUCAAAACGUGUAUGUCAGAUGUUUUGUAACAUCUACAGACGACGCUGAGGUUCAGCACACCGAGCGGUGCAUUAAGGACAAAAGCCUUCUGUGCAGCAAUGAGGACAAUCCUCAGUUUACGGACCCAGUCCGCAUAAUUUCUACUACCAACUUUCAACUAAAUUUUCUCUAGGAACAUAUCUUAACCAGUAGAACUAAAGCGCAAGCCAUGACAUAAUUUGCAAAUACUUUUUGACUAUGUUCAUGAUAAUGAAGUUCAUCUGAUUAUGAACUCCCACUCAGAUAGACAUCCCUCUAGUCAUCUAAGUGAAACAUGAUCCGAGUUCAACUAGGCCGUGUCCGAUCAUCACGUGAGACGGACUAGUCAAGAUCGGUGAACAUCUCCAUGUUGAUCGUAUCUUCUAUACGACUCAUGCUCGACCUUUCGGUCCUCCGUGUUCCGAGGCCAUGUCUGUACAUGCUAGGCUCGUCAAGUCAACCUAAGUGUAUUGCGUGUGUUCCGAGGCCAUGUCUGUACAUGCUAGGCUUGUCAACACCCGUUGUAUUCGAACGUAAGAAUCUAUCACACCCGAUCAUCACGUGGUGCUUCGAAACGACGAACCUUCGCAACGGUGCACAGUUAGGGUGAACACUUUCUUGAAAUUAUUAUAAGGGAUCAUCCUACUUGCUACCGUCGUUCUAAGCAAAUAAGAUGCAAAAACAUGAUAAACAUCACAUGCAAUCAAAUAGUGACAUGAUAUGGCCAAUAUCAUCAUGCUCCUUUGAUCUCCAUCUUCAGGGCACCAUGAUCAUCUUUGUCACCGGCAUGACACCAUGAUCUCCAUCAUCAUGAUCUCCAUCAUUGUGUCUUCAUGAAGUUGCCACGCCAACGAUUACUUCUACUUCUAUGGCCAACUCGUUUAGCAACAAAGUAAAGUAAUUUACAUGGCGUUAUUCAAUGACUCGCAGGUCAUGCAAAAUAAUAAAGACAACUCCUAUGGCUCCUGCCGGUUGUCAUACUCAUCGACAUGCAAGUCGUGAUUCCUAUUACAAGAAUAUGAUCAAUCUCAUACAUCACAUAUAUCAUUCAUCACAUCUUCUGGCCAUAUCAUAUCACAUAACACUUGCUGCAAAAACAAGUUAGACGUCCUCUAAUUGUUGUUGCAAGUUUUUACGUGGUUUGUAGGUUUCUAGCAAGAACGUUUCUUACCUACGUAUGACCAAACGCGAUUUACCAAUUUCUAUUUACCCUUCAUAAGGACCCUUUUCAUCGAAUCUGUUCCGACUAAAGUAGGAGAGACAGACACCCGCUAGCCACCUUAUGCAUCUAGUGCAUGUCAGUCGGUGGAACCUGUCUCACGUAAGAGUACGUGUAAGGUCGGUCCGGGCCGCUUCAUCCUACAAUGCCGCCGAAACAAGAAAAGACUAGUAGCGGCAAGAAGAAUUGGCAAACUCAACGCCCACAACUACUUUGUGUUCUACUCGUGCAUAGUAACUACGCAUAGACCUGGCUCAUGAUGCCACUGUUGGCUCUGUAGCAUAAUUUAAAAUUUUCCUACGCUCACCAAGAUGCAUCUAUGGAGUCUACUAGCAACGAGGGGAUAGGAGUGCAUCUACAUACCCUUGUAGAUCGCGAGCGGAAGCGUUCCAAUGAACGUGGAUGACGGAGUCGUACUCGCCGUGAUCCAAAUCACCGAUGACCGAGUGCCGAACGUACGGCACCUCCGCGUUCAACACACGUACGGUGCACCCCUUACAGCCCAUGUGCCCCCCUGGGGCUGGUGGACCCCCGGACCCCUUUCGGCACUCCCGGUACAAUACCGAUAAAGCGCGAAACUUUUCCGGCGACCAAAAUAAGACUUCCCAUAUAUAAAUCUUUACCUCCGGACCAUUCCGGAACCUCUCGUGACGUCCGGGAUCUCAUCCGGGACUCCGAACAACUUUCGGGUUUCCGCAUACAUAUAUCUCUACAACCCUAGCGUCACCGGACCUUAAGUGUGUAGACCCUACGGGUUCGGGAGACAUGCAGACAUGACCGAGACGCCUCUCCGGUCAAUAACCAACAGCGGGAUCUGGAUACCCAUGUUGGCUCCCACAUGUUCCACGAUGAUAUCAUCGGAUGAACCACGGUGUCGAGGAUUCAAUCAAUCCGUAUGCAAUUCCCUUUGUCAAUCGGUAUGUUACUUGCCCGAGACUCGAUCGUCGGUAUCCCAAUACCUUGUUCAAUCUCGUUACCGGCAAGUCUCUUUACUCGUACCGCAAUGCAUGAUCCCGUGACUAACGCCUUAGUCACAUUGAGCUCAUUAUGAUGAUGCAUUACCGAGUGGGCCCAGAGAUACCUCUCCGUCACACGGAGUGACAAAUCCCAGUCUCGAUCCGUGCCAACCCAACAGACACUUUCGGAGAUACCCGCAAUGCACCUUUAUAGUCACCCAGUUACGUUGUGACGUUUGGCACACCCAAAGCACUCCUACGGUAUCCGGGAGUUGCACGAUCUCAUGGUCUAAGGAAAAGAUACUUGACAUUGGAAAAGCUCUAGCAAACGAAACUACACGAUCUUUUAUGCUAUGCUUAAGUUGGGUCUUGUCCAUCACAUCAUUCUCCUAAUGAUGUGAUCCCGUUAUCAAUGACAUCCAAUGUCCAUAGUCAGGAAACCAUGACUAUCUGUUGAUCAACGAGCUAGUCAACUAGAGGCUUACUAGGGACAGGUUGUGGUCUAUGUAUUCACACAUGUAUUACGAUUUCCGGACAAUACAAUUAUAGCAUGAAUAAUAGACAAUUACCAUGAACAAAGAAAUAUAAUAAUAACCAUUUAUUAUUGCCUCUAGGGCAUAUUUCCAACAAUUCUAUGAUUAUGAGAUAUGGCAAAUGGACGUCAAAAUGGCAUUCCUUAAUGGUUUCCUUAAGAAGAAUUGUAUAUGAUGCAGCCGUAAUAUUUUGUGAUCCUAAGAAUGCUGACAAGGUAUGCAAGCUCCAGCGCUCAAUCUAUGGGCUGGUGCAAGCAUCUCGGAGUUGGAACAUUCGCUUUGAUGAGAUGAUCAAAGCGUUUGGGUUUACACAGACUUAUGGAGAAGCUUGUGUUUACAAGAAAGUGAGUGGGAGCUCUGUAGCAUUUCUCAUAUUAUAUGUGGAUGACAUACUAUUGAUGGGAAAUGAUAUAGAAUUCUUGGAAAGCAUAAAGGCCUACUUGAAUAAGUGUUUUUCAAUGAAGGACCUUGGGGAAGCUGCUUACAUAUUAGGCAUCAAGAUCUAUAGAGAUAGAUCGAGACACACGGAGCAUAUGAGAUGUUCCAAGAGCUGAAAAUGGUUUUCCAAGCUCAUGCCCGAGUCGAGAUAUAUGAAGUCUCCAACAAGUUCUACAGUUGUAAGAUGGAGGAGAAUAGUUCUGUCAGCAAGCACAUACUCAAAAUGUCUGGGUUGCACAACCGCUUGUCUCAGCUGGGAGUUAAUCUCCAGGAUGACGCGGUCAUUGACAGAAUCCUUCAGUCCCUUCCACCUAGCUACAAGAGCUUUGUGAUGAAUUUCAAUAUGCAGGGGAUGGAGAAAACCAUUCCUGAGGUAUAUUCAAUGCUGAAAUCAGCGGAGGUGGAGAUCAAAAAGAACAUCAAGUGUUGAUGGUCAAUAAAACCACUAGUUUCAAGAAAGGCAAGGGUAAGAAGAACUUCAAGAAGGACGACAAGGGAGUUGCCGCGCCCGGUAAGCCAGUUGCCGGGAGGAAGCCAAAGCAUGGACCCAAACCUAAGGCUAAGUGCUUUUAUUGCAAGGGAAACGGUCACUGGAAGCGGAACUGCCCCAAGUACUUAGCGGAUAAGAAGGCCGGCAAUACCAAAGGUAUAUAUGAUAUACAUGUUAUUGAUGUGUACCUUACCAGCACUCGUACUAUCUCCUGGGUAUUCGAUACCGGUGCGGUUGCUCAUAUUUGUACCUCAAAACAGGAGCUGCGGAAUAAGCGGAGACUGGCGAAGGAUGAGGUGACGAUGCGCGUCGGUAAUGGUUCCAAGGUCGAUGUGAUCUCCGUCGGCACGCUACCUCUACAUUUACCUACGGGAUUAGUUUUAAACCUCAAUAAUUGUUAUUUAGUGCCAGCUUUGAGCAUGCACAUUGUAUCUGGAUCUCGCUUAAUGCGAGAUGGCUACUCAUUUAAAUCUGAGAAUAAUGGUUGUUCUAUUUAUAUGAGAGAUAUGUUUUAUGGUCAUGCCCCGCUGGUCAAUGGUUUAUUCUUAUUGAAUCUCGAACAUGAUGUUACACAUAUUCAUAGUGUGAAUGCCAAAAGAUCUAAGGUUGAUAAUGAUAGUCCCACAUACUUGUGGCACUGCCGCCUUGGUCACAUUGGUAUCAAACGCAUGAAGAAACUCCAUGCAGAUGGACUUUUGGAGUCUCUUGAUUAUGAAUCAUUUGACACGUGCGAACCAUGCCUCAUGGGCAAAAUGACCAAGACUCCGUUCUUCGGAACAAUGGAGCGAGCAACCAACUUAUUGGAAAUCAUACAUACUGAUGUGUGCUGUCAAAUAAGAAAAGGCAAUUUUCCUUAUUUAAUUAUGGCCAAUAUAUUUGCCGGAGCUUGGAUUAGGCAUAAAUAUCAACUCCACCAAUUCUCAUGAAUUUAGGAGAGGACUAGAUAUGCCUUGGGAUUUUAUUCCUCAGAAAGGCAAGAAAAGGAAUAAAUCAUAAUUCAAAAAUAUUGCAUAAGACUUAGCAAUAUUUUUGCAUAUCCAAGGAUUAGAGGGAUUGGAGGGUCUCUGGGAACAGAUGGGAUGAUCAACAGAUCAAGGAAAAUGAUGGCUUCUUUGUAAUCACAAAGGCCACAUUCAAAUUCCAACAAUUUGGAAUUAGGGUUUGAGAGGGUUUGAGCUGAUGCAAAUGAGGUCUUGCCCACUGACAAAUACACGAGCAAGGUUUUGAAAGGUUGGAAAUGGCAAGAAGUCUCAGAGUCAUCCAGCAAACUCAGGAGAAAAAUUGAAAAAUGAUUGCCAGGAAGGAAUAACUGCACAAAAAUUGAUAACCCAAUUUUGGGGCUCUUAAAAACCUUCCGUCCUUAAAAAGAAUCUCGUCCUCGAGAUUCCUAGGGUUACAGCACAAAUGAAAGGAUAACCACUCCGGGGAAAAACCUCUGGGUUAAUUUUAACCCUUUGGUCAGAUUCAAACGAGUUGGGGCACCGAUAAUUGGUACACCUAGGGAGAGAUAUGAGAAAACACGGUUAUAUCCACGGCUAGGGGCACUCGAGAUCAAACUCUCAAAAAUUGCUAGAUGCAGGUGAGGUGGCUGCGCCAGCUCAGGAAUCACGCUAGGGUACGAGGGAAAAUUUUGCGGAUUGCUCCACGAAAAGGUAGGUGUCGGGCUAGAAUCGGAGUUGACAUCUGUAUUGGGGUAGAUGUACUGGAUCGAAUAAAGUUGGCAGUGUUCCUCCGAAAAUGAAAUCGGGAAAAAGAAUUAGAGACGAGGAACUGCCAGACGGAAAUGCCUCUGCGAGGCUCUGGGUUUAGAAAUCCGGCACACUGGGUAUGCACAGAGAGGGAUAUGUGACUUUGCAUUCCCCCGAGUACUGCCCGAAUGUACUCGUGGGUGAACCGGGUAUGCGUGCAGUAUGCAGUACAAACAAACUAACAAACAGACCGAUGCAACAAACAUGCAAUGAAAACACAGCAGACAAAUCAUUCUAAGGUGUUUUAAUGCGAGUGGGCAUAUGUAAUCCUGGCAUACAUAUACCUACACCAACGCGCAUUUUAAUAGAGACUCGGGACGAGCCAAUGUUGUUUUCAGUGUAUGUGUCGUACUGAUUAAAAUCUUGUUAGCACACAUUGCCAACCCUGUCAAACAUCUUUGUUUGACAGAGAGACAAACAAAACAAGCACAAAAACAAAAGCACGAAAACAAACAUAGAACACAGCAUACGGAUUACAGCAGCACUAGCAUACAACAAAGCACGAACGCUCUACGCGCUAAACGAAACUACUCACUCCGGGAUACAUAGUUCUAUCCUCCUAUCGAGGAUGAACAGACAGACUGACCUACUCGUAGAUUCAUCUCACUGCGUGACUGAGGUGAUGCAGGGGACUGGCCUUGUUGGGGCUCUGCUAGAGGAUGAAGACUAAGCCAAUCUCCAUCUUCAUCGUCCGGCACUACUAUGGGUUGGGGUUCGACUGCUGGAGGUGUGACUGAAAUCGAUCCAAGCAAAUGCUGCUGGUGGAUCCGUAAAAGAGCCUUGUCGAGGGUGAUGAUGUUUGGCAUGGGCCACAACACAGGCUGAGAGGGUAGCACUGGUUCGGAUGCCAUGGGAUGAACGGCUUGGGAUGCGAAUUUACGAGCCUCGCGAUAAGCUUCCUUGACAACUCGUACCGCAUCGUUGUCCAGGGUUCUAAACUCGGCAAGCAUCUUGGAAAUCAUCAUCCCCUGGGUAGUGAUAUAGUGCACCAGGCGAGCGGUUGUGGGGUCAUCGCCUUGGAUAGUGGGAGAAGGCUGCAUUCCUGCUUCUGCCACAAUGGGGGAAAAGCAGAACUCCCGCCUUGUUGCCACAUGCGGGAACUUGGUUCGGAGGUGUAGGAUAGCCUCCACAGCAGCGGCCUGAAUGGCUAAAUCAGUGGUAGGGCAUGGUUCUACCCUGAAAAACCAACGGCUGGCCAUCUACUGCGGGACCUGGGCCGAUGUGCACUCUUGCAUCAUAGCGAUGAAGGUGAGGGACAGGUGUCAACUGGAACACCAGGUAAUUGGGGCUAGCCUUACAGCCAAAGGCUUUGGUGAGCAUCUCGGUAAGAAGGGGUGGAAAGCCAGUGUGGUUGACGGCACAGGUGUGGGUGUAAUACUUGGGAGCUUUGAGGGUGCUAGCCAUGGCUGGGGUGUUGCUAGCUAGGCUUCUCUGCAGGGACAUGGCUGACUGAGGGUUGAGCGAUCCGGCUAGCGGGAAGGGGUUUUAUAGGCAGUUAUGCGGGACAUGCCCACAUGGUGUGGCCCCUUUCCCUUAAUGGCGAAGGGAAAGUGGUGUGGCCGACCAGAAAGGAUAGGGUUGUUAUUCGUUCCACGGAUAACUAGGCGGGGACAGCGGGGUGAGGAUGUGUCGGUCCCGACUGCGCCACAUGUUGAUUAACAAUGGCCAUGUCGAAUGCCAGGGAUGGGUCAAAUCCCUUAGGGUCAUUACGGUUUAAUGGUAGUGGUGAUCUAAUGCUAGGAUAACCUAUGCCAGCCUGGCUGCUCUGAUACCAUCUCCUAUGGCACCCUGAUCCGCAUGGAGCAGGGGGCCUUCGCACGUCAGCCCAGGAUAACACCUGACGCACGACAGGUCCAUGAUACAGCAUUCCAGGUACAAUAAUAUUCAUCAAAUACAUGUGUAUAAGAUUACAUCAUUGAUGAAUACAAUUAUCUGGCAUAGCCCUAAGGCUAUUUAAAUGGCAACGGGAGUCUAUUUAAAUGGCGGCGGAAGUCUUGGUUUGGCUGCGUCUCACUCUGGUUGGGCUCCAUAACUCACAGGACUGGCAAGAUUACGGCCUAGCAUGACGGAACAAGCGAACAAGUUGGGCACGACCUACAAAACUGGCAUGACAUGCCAGGUCAGUACAUUGAAUGUACUUGCAAGACAACCAGAUACAUAGCAUCUAAACAAACAGAUGACAAAGCAAGAAGCAAGCAUAUGCAACAGUCUACUUCAACACAACUCCUAAGCAUGGCAUGAUAUUAACUAGAAUCAUAAAUCAAAAGAAGCAUGAAUAACAGCAUAGCAUCUACUAGCAGGGCAUACCAAAUUUACUUCCAACAUAACAACAGCAACGCAUAACACAUCAAAACAUGGCAUGGCGUCAUGAAACUAUGCUGGAAAUAAACUACCAGUUACCUUCCGUGAAGACAUGCUGUAUUAACCUUAUGCAACAAUCACUUACUCUGCCACGGCUCCUCGGAGCACAUGCAUGACUUACCAAGACCUCGUCUCGGGGUCAUAUCAACACAUCAUCGUGACUUCUCACGAUCUUCCCAUAGUCCAAGUCAUCACAUGAUUUAGCACAUUUUAAUUAUCACACAAGUUAUUAGCAGAUUUAUCCUCCAUUUCAACCAAGACCUGAUAGUGUGACCUACUAUGAACUUGUGCCCAUGACCGAGGACGCGGCUAUCGAUAGAUUAAAUACACUCUGUAGAGGUAGCGCACUUUACCCACACUACGGAACCCUGGCCUCGCACUCCCAUACGUGCGGACCACGAUGUUCCGACAAAACCGAGCUACUACCAUGACACUCUCCCGGCCACUCCGACCAACACCCCCUUGGGGUUCAGUCCUGGGUUGCCUCGUGUCUACCAAAGACACAACGGCCACCGUCGUGGCAAAACGGUCCCAAACGGGGACAAGGUACCAUAAAAACAAAAACGAGCACACAAGGUUAUGUCUGCCUACCUGAUCAGGGUAGUGCGUGCCCAUAACCUUCCCUCGCGGGAGGCACCGGCAAGAGGCAUGACAAUAGACCCAGCUAGGACCUUUCCAUAAGGUAAAUGUGGUUGCACUGGAGAAAGCUCGACUUGGGUGGCACUAUGAUAUCCCAGUGAUGACGGAGGGGUUUUUAUAUUAAGUCAUAUUAUUACCUUCUCCAUCAUCAAUCAUCAUGCGAGCAUUAUUAACAUGAAUGCAACAACUAACAUGCAACAUACCGAUGCAGUAACAAAACAUCAAGCAUUUCAAAAGAACAAUGAGAGCAUGCGAAGCAUGGCAAUACCAAGUACUAGCAAACUUACCAGUGCAACAGAAACAUAACAUCGAUACUACUAACAUGAAAACUAGACAGAGGCCUGAUAUUAUCAGUAACAACAUCAAACUAGCAUGGCAACAUAUUUAAUGAAAACUCAAGCAUGCACGGCAGAUAACAAAAUUAUUUAGCACGACUGAAAUAACAGCAGACGAAACAUACAGGAAACUACGGCAACUAAACACACACACGAGGUGCAAGCAAAGUCAACAUGCAAGUUCGGGGCUCAUGAUAAGAGGUUGGCUUCCCUGGGGGUCGGGGAUUACUCCGGAAAAAGUGUGAAACGAUCGCGAAAAGGGUUGCCGGAAACAGUUCUCUCUCGGAGGGGGCUGUUUACGUGCAAGGGCAAAGUGGUCAUUUUCACUGUGUGAAAACAUUAUGAAAAUGAUACCAACGGAAAGAGCUCAACGAGACGAAGAUGUGAGCGUUGGAAUCACCUCAAUCGGAGUUACGGUUGCGGAGUUAUGAAGUGAUGAAGGUCAGGGACCUAUCUGUGAAGAAUUUCUACAAACAGGCCCCUGAGCUGAAAAACAGAAAGCACAUUUAGUUGAAUAUGCCUUCUCAGCAGAGAAAAUGAAUUUCUAGCCGUAGUUAAGUGAAAAUACGCUUUCCCGAAAGGAGACAGGUGGGCUCGCGUGGGGAGAGGGGCCCGCCUGGCCAACUGGCUGGGUGUCGUCUUCCUCCUCGCGCCUGUUCCCCUCGUGAAGCAGAGGAGGAACAGGGGAGGGAAGAGGCGAGGGGGCCGGCCGACCUAGGCCAGCUCCAGCCAAGGGAAGGGCACGGGCGGCUGCGGCAUGGCCUGCCGCGCCCGUUCAGAGGAGCGGCGGCCGCCUGGGAGGCGCGGGGAGGCGGCGCCGGGAGGAGGCAGGGAGCAGCGGCGGUGGUCGACCUAUGGAGGCGCGAGACCACAACCGCUCCGGCGUAGAGAGGAGGGGGUGGGGAGGAGCGCCAGAGUGGUGGGGGUCUACUGGUGGUUCCAGAGUGGAGGGAGGAGGCAUGGCUCGAGCGAAUUUAGGCCGAGUCCGGCGGUGGGCACGGCGGCCAUGGGGAUGGGGAAGGGUCAGAGAGCUCCUCGAGCUCGAGCUAGUGGUUCGGGGGCAUUGUGGACUGCGAGGAGGCUCGGGGUCGCUACUUAUAGCCGCGGGGACGAGCUCUAGAGGGAGGGGCGAGGUGACAUGCGGCGGGCGACGUGUCCGUGCACCGGCGAUGCGCACACGCGGCCAAAGGUCACGGGGAGCAGUGAGAAGGCGAUGAAGGGGAUGCGGACGACGCGCAGGAGGUCACGGGGACGAGCAACACUCGCGGACGAACGGGGAAAGAGGACAUGGGCGAAGAAGACGAGGGUGCACACGGGCGGACGAACGGGGAAAGAGGACUGUGCGGCGACGACGACGGCUUGACGAGGAAGAUAACCAAGGGGGAAACGGGCCAAGGUGCACGGUGACGAUGAGGCUGAGCUGGUUGACAAGCUUGGACGAGCCAGAGCCAGCCGGAGCUGCGAUACUGUGGCCAACAGUGCGCAGACCACCGAUUUGGCCUGCAUAGCCCCGUGGUCACCACCGACAUCGCGCUCUCUGGUCGUCUACUUGGUGCCAAAUGAUGUCUACAGCGUAGUCCUUCCAAAGCUAAUUAAGACUGAGGUGAUGGCACAGGCAGAGGUGAAGGGGGCAGAGGGAACCAAGCUCGACAAGUUUCCUGUUGCAAACUUGGCCACAUCUUGGUGAUUAACCUAGUGAGCUUAAGGACUAAACUUAAUAUCUAGGGGGUUUAGGCUAGUAAGGACUACGGUCCUGGGAAGUUGGAGGGGAAUUGGGCAAGGAUUUAGCAUAGCUGCAGUGCAACUAGGAAAUAUGGCCCAGAAAACAAAUGAUGAAGAAGCACUCACUAGGAGUGUUGGAUUGAGCUAAAACUUGGCAAAGCUUCCUGAUUUAGUCAUAUGUAGAUGCUGCAAAAAUAUCAUACCAAAUGGAGUUGCCAAAUUGGUACUUGUUUCACAAGCAUCACAUCUGACCAGAAACUUUGAAAAAAUCCAGGAAAAUAUUAGCUACAUGAACUGAGCCAAAAUUUGUUGGAGAUAGGUUAUAUGGAUAGGAGAAAGCUUGGAAAUAUUUUCAGCCAUAAUGGAGCAAGAUAAAAUAUACUUGCUUCAUAAACUGAAAAUUUGGACAGAAUCAAAGAAUUGUUCUUGUGCUCACAUAGUUCAAGGGAUGAUCUGAAUUUUGGAUGAGGGUGAUGAUAUGGUCAUUAGAGACUGCUGGAAAAGUUUCAUCUCAUUUUGACCAUCUAUGAGGGUACUUCCUUCACAGACAAGCAAUCUGAACAGAAACUUUGAAAAAUUGCACAGGGAGCUAGGAUGAAUGGAUUGAGCUCAUCUUUGAUACCCAUGGGUAAUUUAUCAAGGUUAAUCACCCUGACAAAUUGCAGCUCAAUUGGAAUUAGGAAUAAAGCACUUCCUUUGCAAAAAUUUCAGAGAGGGCAGAAACUUGCAUUGGAUCAUGUGCUCAAAUUAUGAUCUUUGGAGCAUGGGUUUGGAUGGAAAUGGUGAAGAUAUAUCAAGUACAAGCUCCACAAAUUAUUUGGGAAUUUUCCUUGCUAUAAAAAUGGUAGCUCCUUUGGAAACAGGCAAGAAUGCAAUAUUGGCUUAAAAUAAGAAAAGGCAAUUUUCCUUAUUUAAUUAUGGCCAAUAUAUUUGCCAGUGCUUGGAUUAGGCAUAAAUAUCAACUCCACCAAUUCUCAUGAAUUUAGGAGAGGACUAGAUAUGCCUUGGGGUUUUAUUCCUCAGAAAGGCAAGAAAAGGAAUAAAUCAUAAUUCAAAAAUAUUGCAUAAGACUUAGCAAUAUUUUUGCAUAUCCAAGGAUUAGAGGGAUUGGAGGGUCUCUGGGAACAGAUGGGAUGAUCAACAGGUCAAGGAAAAUGAUGGCUUCUUUGUAAUCACAAAGGCCACAUUGAAAUUCCAACAGUUUGGAAUUAGUGUUUGAGAGGGUUUGAGCUGAUGCAAAUGAGGUCUUGCCCACUGACAAAGACAUGAGCAAGGUUUUGAAAGGUUGGAAAUGGCAAGAAUUCUCAGAGUCAUCCAGCAAACUCAGGAGAAAAUUUGAAAAAUGAUUGCCAGGAAGGAAUAACAGCACAAAAAUUGAUAACCCAAUUUUGGGGCUGUUACACUUUCUAUGGAUAAUCACAACAAAACUGUAUUUUGGAACGUGCGUGGCCUCAACAGCAAAGCCAAGCGCACUGCUGUCCGCACCGUCGUUACCUCCUCCUCCCCCCUAGUGGUCUGUCUCCAAGAGACCAAACUGGCCUUGGUCACGCCUAACAUUGUCCUCGAGACUCUCGACGCUAGCUUUGCUGACUUCUACUUCCUGCCCGCGUCGGGAACGCGCGGCGGAAUUCUCCUCGCUUGGCGCAGUGACAUGAUCGCACUCGCCAACCCCGUCAUUGGAGCGCACCAUGUUUCCGCGACUGUCUCCUCCCUGUCGGGCAGCAACACGUGGUGGCUGACCGGUGUCUAUGGACCUCAAAGCAUCCCUGACAAGCUCGCGUUCCUCUCCGAGCUGCACGACCUACGCGACUUCAUCUCUGGACCAUGGAUUCUCGGAGGAGAUUUCAACAUGGUCACUUCUAUCACGGAUAAAAACAUGGGCCGCGUCAAUCACCGGACCAUGAACCAGUUCUGACGUUUCAUCACCGACGACGCCCUACGGGAUAUCUACCUCCACGAUCGGCGCUUCACGUGGUCUAAUGAGCAAGAUCACCCCAUCCUCGUCCGCAACGACCGAAUCCUCGCCACGCCCUCUUGGGAGACAUGCAACCCCACCACAUCUUGCACUGCUUGGCCUCCGCGGCUUCGGACCACUGCCCUCUUGUCCUCGACUGCUCGCCGCGCGAUCGAGGCGCACCUCGCUUCCAUUUCGAGCGUUUCUGGACUAGACUUGAAGGUUUCCAUCAAAUUGUCUCUCCUGCGUAGCACUCUGACGACCCUGACCCAUUCCGAAGAAUUUAUGCACGACUCAAGGCCACGGCUCGAGCACUGCGGAGCUGGAGCUCGCGCUCGACUAGCAGCAUCUCCACGUAACUCCUCGUCUCCCACGAGCUGAUCUAUCGUCUUGAUAGCGCCGAAGACAUGCGCCCUCUCUCCGACAGCGAGACGUGCCUCCGGCGAGAACUAAAGCGCAAGUACCUAGGACUUGCAUCUCUCGAGCGCUGCAUUGUACGCAAACGCGCGCGGUUUUCCUGUCUCAAGGAGGGGGAUACCAAUACUGCAUUCCUCAAAGCCCAUGCCACUCACAGGAGCCAGAAAAACUUCAUCUUCGGCUUUCACCAUGAGGGUUACUUCGUCAGCGACGACCCUGGCAUGGCCCGUGCGGCCUUCUCCCACUUCAGCACCACCAUGGGCUCCCAGGCCUUGCGCGAGCACACGCUCGACCUGUGCAGCCUCGACUCUCGCCGCUUCGACCUCUUGCCUCUCAAAGAGCCUUUCACUGAGGAAGAGAUUUGGCACGCGGUCAAGAUGCUGCCCACCGGCAAGGCGCCGGGUCCGGACGGCUUCACGGCGGAGUUCCUCCGCUCUUGCCGGGCCAUUAUCAAGGAUGAUAUCUGCGCCGCGUUUGACAAGCCUUACGCUUUGAACGGCAUGGGAUUCCGCAAGCUCAACGAGGCGCUCCUUACCCUGCUACCCAAGAAACCUGACGCGUCGACGAUCGCGGACUACAGGCCCAUCAGCCUCAUCCACCUUGUCGCAAAACUUUUUGCCAAGGUGCUCUCCCUCCGUCUUGCGCCGCUGCUCCGUGACAUGGUCUCCACCAACCAGAGCGCAUUCAUCGCUGGUAGAAGCGUGCAUGACAACUUCCUUCUCGUCCAGCAAACGGCGAGGUUGCUCCACAACCUUAAGGCGCCGUGCGUUCUCCUCAAGCUAGACAUUGCGAAGGCCUUCGACACUUUGGCAUGGACAUUCCUCCUUGAGACGCUGCGGCACCUUGUCUUCGGCCGACGUUGGUGCGAAUGGAUUUCGAUCCUCCUCUCCACCGCCUCCACACGCGUCCUUAUCAACGGUAGCCCGGGACCGCCGAUCUCCCACGCCCAAGGCCUGCGCCAAGGCAACCCGGUCUCCCCCAUGCUCUUCACCCUGGUGAUUGACAAGCUUAACUCGCUCCUCGAAUUCGCCACGCAACAGGGCGUCCUCAAGCGGCUCACACCUCGCCACGCCGCCUCGAGUAUCUCCAUGUUCGCCGAUGAUGUGGUGAUCUUCUGCCACCCAGAAACGCAUGAGCUUAACAUCAUCAAGCUGCUCCUCGAAGCUUUCGGCCACGCCUCUGGCUUUCGGACUAACUUCCUCAAAUGCUCGGCUUCCCCCAUCCGAUGCACCAAGGACCAGCUUGACACCAUUGCGGCAACCAUGGCUUGCCCGCUCACGGUCUUCCCCAUCAAGUACCUGGGGUUGCCCCUCUCUACACGCAAGGUGCCAGCUUCGGCGCUACUACCUAUCGUCGACAAACUUCACAAGAAGCUGGCUUCUUGGAAAGCUUCCCUCCUGUCACGCGGCCAGCGCCUCGCCCUCGCUCGCCACGUCCCCUCCGCCCUGCCGGUGCAUAUCUUACUCGCGCUGGCAAUCAACCCCUCCAUUCUCAAGAAGAUCAACCGGCUCAUCCGCGACUUUCUCUGGCACGGCAACAAGGACGCGCACCAUGGCUCUUGCAUCGUGUCCUGGCAAAAGGUGUGUUGCCCCCUGUCCCUCGGCGGCCUGGCGAUCCGUGACCUGCACUGCACCGGUGUUGCGAUGCACACGCACUGGAUCUGGUUGCAACACACUGACCCCUCGUGCACCUGGAAGCACCUUCACCUGCCAUCCGACCCCGAGGCGUCUCAACUCUUCCGUGCCUCCACAACUUGGGUGCUCGGCGACGGCAACACAUGCAAAUUCUGGCAUGACCAUUGGCUUCAUGGCAAAUCUAUUCUGGAGAUCGCGCCAACUCUGUCCUCCCUCAUCCCGAGGCGGCGCAAAAGGCAGAGACUUGUGCGCGAAGCGCUCACCGAUCGUGGCUGGAUCACGGGCAUCCAUGGCACCUUAAACCCACUUGCGGUCAUCGAGUACGUCCAUCUUUGGGGUCUACUCCAGGGCAUCAUGCUCUCCGAUGAGCCGGACCGCCAAAUCUGGAGGUGGACUGCCAACGGCAGCUACUCAGCGCGGUCGGCCUACCACGCGCUCUUUCUUGGAGCCACCACCGCGCCUCACUGGCAGCUCAUCUGGAAAACCUGGGCUCCCUCCAAUGCUAAGAUAUUCCUCUGGCUUGCCUCCCUCAACCGCUCCUGGACCGCGAACCGCCGAGCACGGCACGGCUUGCCGCGCGACCCCGUCUGCAUGCUCUGUGGUCAGGACGACGAGACCCUCCACCACCUCCUAGUUGGUUGUGUCUUCUCGCGCAUGGCUUGGCACGACGUUUUGGCUUGGUGCCGCACGCCAGCACCCCCCCCCCCCCGACGGCACCACCGGCUUCUUCGAGUGGUGGACCGCUACCAGUGUCCCAACAUGCCUACGCAAGGGCAUCAACUCCCUGGUCGUCCUCACCUCCUGGGCCAUAUGGAAGCAUCACAACGCCAUCCUCUUCGACAACGCAUCUCCCAACCUCCACACCCUCCUCGACGACAUCAAGCAGGAAGCAAAAUUAUGGGCCAGAGCCGGCGCAAAAGGGCUCGACCGGAUUAUUCCUGUAACAUAAACAUGUAACAGCGAGGCUGAGCAUCCUCAUCCCUCCCUGCUCACCCUGCGCGUCUGGGCAUCGCCAUCUUGCGUACGCUAUCCAGGGCACCAACCUUUGUACUCACCUCCCAACCUAUCAAUGGAAUGAUACGCAAUCUUGCGUAUUCGAGAUUUUUUUUCUCCUCUCCUGUUUUAUUCCACUACUUGCUUGCUAUAAUUAAUUGGAGGCAAUUGCUAGCUCCUGUUUCUUGACUUAGAGCAAUUCGUUUAUCUUCAAAUACUAGCUCCAUUGUUCAUAGCAAGAGGUACAUGGCGACCCUUUCCCAAGAAACAGAAGUAAAGAAUGAGAUCACACCUUUUUAGGGGGGUGUUUGUUUCCAGGGACUUUUUGGUAUAGGGACUAGAAAAAGUCCCUCUUAGAGACUUUUUAACCAAACAGGAGGGACUACUAGGGACUAAAAGUUGCUUUUUGGGACUAAAUGAAGAAGACUCUCAAGGAGAGUCUUUUUGGGACUUUUUGAGACUUUUCCAACAAUGCCCUUCCAUGCACCCAUUGGCCCGCCGCCCCAUGGUGUUGUUUGGUUGUUAUUUCUCUGUAUACUAGGGGUAACAUGGUCAUUUAAUAACCUCUAGGGAGGGACUAGAGACUUUUUAGUCCCUGGAAACAAACAGUGAGGGACUUUUUAGGGACUAGGGACUUUUUAGUUGGGACUAGAAAAAGUCCUAAGACUUAUGAACCAAACAGGGCCUUAAUUCUGUGUAGAUUAAAUUUACGGCACCUUUCGAUGUUACAUUUUGGUUAUUCUAUGCAAAGUUAAUCAUUGGAAAAUUUAAUAGGACUUUUGUGCAGAUUAAAGUUAUUCAUUGUGGCAAAGCACUAUGAACUUAGCAAGAAAAACUCUUUUUAGCUAUUUUUUUACAUUAUAUUACUCAAUGUCUACUCUACUCUUACUAUCAUAUCUCCAAUUUUAUAGAGAUAGACCUGCACGUACCCGCAACAACGUGCGUUGUAUCAUCUAGUUUUUCUUUAAAUGAAAAUGUGCUCACAGCUAACUCUCAAACGGCGCCACAGGGUGAAAGGGAGUAACUGUUCGUCUAUAUAUCCAUGCAACAUCUACCGUGACAAUAGACAAUCCCCACGCUCAUGCAUACUUGCAUGCAUUGGUGGAGGAUUGCUACGGCAAACUAAUGCAGGAAGAUUAAGUGGUUGGAUGACUAACAAAACAGUAAUAGCUGGUAUCCAAAGGCCACUUAUAAGCUGAUCUUGAGAGGGGUUUAGGCAUAUAAUUUGACCAACAAAACAUGUAUAUUAUGUCACAAAAAAUAUAUAGUUAAAUCUACAUCUGACAACGAAUUUAAAGACAUGUCUUUUUUAUGGAAUAUCAUACAUGUUUUCCUAGUUAAAUUGAAGACCUAAAGAUCCGUGCCUGACCUAAAACUCCAUUUGUCUCCUCUAAUUGUUUGUCACAUUUUUUUGUCUAUGUGGCAUGCAUCUUAGUAUCUAUAUUAUGUUACUCCCACUAUGAGUAAUCUGACUAGACAACGACCUCAAUGCAUUGUUUCUUAUCUAAAGUGGUGUUACAUUUGACUAAAACAAAGUGGUGUUACAUUUAAUUAGUUUAAAGAUUAUGUAUGCAUCUCAAUAUUGUGACCAAGUUAUAAAGAGAAGUAAAUGAGAGAAAUUAAUUAGGGGAUUAGCCACACCGAAUAAGAGCAUUAAAUAUAUUAUAUAGAAAAAUAUGCCAAGAGCCAUAUCCCCACACAAAGUGGGUUUGUUAGUUGGCUAACAACCCCAAUAUUCAUGGUAAAUAAGUCGUCCGAGCAUUUAGUGGGUUGAAAACAACAGUCAUAAAGUGCAGCAAAAGUGCAACAAUAUUCAUGGUAAAUAUCAAUAACCGAUAGUUUGAUAGCAAGGUAAUUUGUAACGAGCAAGUAAUAGUAAUGGUAACAAAAGUGCAGCAAGGUAGCCAAUCCUUUUUGUAGCAAAGGACAAGCCGGAACGGUCUCCUAUAAUAAGCCAAGCAUUCUUGGGGACAUAAGGGAAUUUCAUCUAGUCACUUUCAUCAUGUUUGUUUGAUUCGCGUUCGCUACUUUGGUAAUUUAAUAUGUUCGUGGACCGGUACUUGGGUGAUGUUCUUACUUGAACAAGCCUCCCACUUAUGAUUAACCCUCUCUCAAGCAUCCGCAAUUACGAAAGAAGAAUUAAGAUAAAUAUAACCAUAACAUUAAACAUAUGGAUCCAAAUUAGCCCCUUACGGAAUAGCGCAUAAACUAGGGUUCAAGAUUCUGUCACUCUAGCAACCCAUCAUCUAAUCACUACUCCACAAUGCAUUCCCUUAGGCCCAAUGGUGGUGAAGUGUCAUGUAGUCGAUGUUCACAUAACACCACUAAGGGAAUCAACAACAUACAUAUCAUCAAAAUAUCGAACGAAUACCAAAUUCACAUGAUUACUUAUGACGAGACUUCUCCCAUUCAUUAAGAAAAAAAGUAACUAAUCACAAAACAUAUUCAUGCUCAAGAUCAAAGGGGUAUUGAAUAGCAUAAUAGAUCUGAACAUAUGAUCUUCCACCAAAUAAACCAACUAGCAUCAACUAUAAAAUGUAAUCAACACUACUAGCAACCCAUAGGUACCAAUUUGAGAUUCUGAUACAAAGAUUGAAUACAAGAGAUGAACUAGGGUUUGAGAUGAGAUGGUGUUGUUGAAGAUGUUAAUGAAGAUUGGCCCUCCCACAAUGAGAGGGUUGUUGGUGAUGAUGACGACUUUGAUUUCCCCCUCCCAGAGGGAAGUAUCCCCAGCGGAAUCGCUCCGCCGAAGUGCAAAAGUGCUCCUGCCCAAGUUCCGCCUCAAGACGGCGGCGCUCCAUCCCGAAAGUCCUCCCCUUAUUUUUUUUCUAGGGAAAAUGGGCCUAUAUACCAGAAGAUGGGCACCGAGGCUGGCCUAAGGCCCCACCACCCACCAGAAGACGCCACGGUCACCACACGCCUGUUCACGGUCUCGACACGCGGGAGCGUGGCAGCACCGGGCAUCGCUGGGAUGACACAGCGAGCAGCCUUGCCACGGUACGGAGCGACGACCUCCUCAACCGUCUGGUCGUCCCAGAUCUCCUGCCGCCGCCUAAUGAUGUGCUUCACCGGUGGCCACGGCCCGUCAUACGCCACCAUCCACGCGUCGUGCUCCUGCAAAAUUUGCGGCGCGCGGCGUACCUCAUGUGCUGCAGCAUCUCCUCCGACAGCCGAUCCUGGUAGAGGCCAAUGACGGGCAUGAAGCCAUGGGUGCCCACUCAGGUAACGGCGGCACCAGGACGCCCGCCAUGCCGAGGCACCAUUGCCCAGCGUUCGGAUGUUUGGUGUUGUGGGUAUGCCAAACACGACGAGCUCCUCUGCCUCCUCUGUGCUCAACUUCAGGCAUGCCAUCGCCGGUGGUGAGAAGGAUCGUGGCGACGAUUUGCGUUGUGCGUGCGGCGAGAGGGAGGGGGGAGAGAGAGAGAGAGAGGGAAUGUGUGGGCGGAGAGGAGGGCACAGGCGGUUUUUAUAGCCGCCGAGGGAGGGCAGUGGCGUGCGCAGGUGAGGCACUAGGGAUUAAUGUGGGCAGUGGCGUGCGCAGGCGAGGCUAUGCGAUGUGUUGGCUUAAUGGCGGCGGGGCAGCACAACCGAGGCAAGGCGACGCGUCACGUUAAUGGUGGCACAUGUGAGGCACAACAACGCAUGCAUGGUGUCAGGACAGGAUUUUUGGGAUAUUAAUUCUCCAGAAAAUGGCCCUUGUGCUCACCAGCCCCAGGAUUACUGUUAGCUGAUGAGGCACCAACUUGAUACAAGAAAUUCCAAGCAAGUACAAAAUAUGUAGUACAAGACCAUUGUGGCCUAUGAGUACAACACUUGGUUUCUAGUGGUUGAUGGCGGAAGCGGUUUGGGGUUCAUCUGCGUCUAUGGGACUCCAUUUCCCACAAGAACAGCUGACCAGGAUAACUCCUAUCUUCGCGAGGCUGCUAUCACCUUUACAUAGGUUCCGGGGCUGUCGUCGUAACGCUCUUCUCCACGCAAGAAAUCUGGCCAAGACAAUAGCCAGGGACAAGCCAGUGAGUAUGUUUGAAUGUACUCGCAAACAUUUAGAACACGGCUAUAAUAUAACAAGGGGUAAUCAUGCUCCGAAAAUAUUCUAUGACCAUAACGUUAGUCACGAGAUAAACAAAAUUCAUGAUGCACGCAUGCAAGUUAUUCAUGUAAAAUGCAUUACGGGAGUAGACAUAGAAUGCAUCGAUCGAGUGUCUGAAGCGACGCCUCGAAAGGAAAAAAAAUCAUGCCUCAGUCGGGCGUCUGAGCGACACCACAUAAAGGGCUUAUAAAUAAAAGAAAUAACAAGCAUGCCACAGUCGGGCGUCUAUGCGACACCACAUAAAGGGCUUAUAAAUAAAAGAAAUAACAAGCAUGCCACAGUCGGGCGUCUAUGCGACACCACAUAAAGGGCUUAUAAAUAAAAGAAAUAACAAGCAUGCCACAGUCGGGCGUCUAUGCGACACCACAUAAAGGGCUUAUAAAUAAAAGAAAUAACAAGCAUGCCACAGUCGGGCGUCUAUGCGACACCACAUAAAGGACUUAUAAAUAAAAGAAAUAACAAGCAUGCCACAGUCGGGCGUCUAUGCGACACCACAUAAAGGGCUUAUAAAGGAUAAUUAAAUAACAAGCAUGCCGCAGUCGGGCGUCUGAGCGACACCACAUAAAGGGCUUAUAAAGGAUAAUCACAGUGAAUAUCCAGGAGGUAGAACCGUCCCAGGGAUACUCAAUAAUUCAAAUAAUGCAAAUGGUUAGUCCAUAAUAAUAGUAAUCAUAAUCGUCACAUGUCACAAGUCAUAAUCCAAGUUCUGGUUUAACAGUUUUUCCUCCGAAGACCGACACUAAGACCGACACUUGACCCAUCCCAAACUGUAGUCCUUAACCAUGGACACGGCUAUUCGAAUAGAGGUAUAAUCUCUGCAGAGGGUGUACUCUUUACCCACGGGUAACGGAUUUCUUUAGUCCGUCGGCACUAAUUCCGUCUACGGUCUUUUAAUUGAAAACACGCCUGACCUGCACACACCAGCUUAACUUACCGGUGUCUGGAAUCACCCACGACACCUGUCAAGCGAAACUCUAAGUGGGGAGGCUACAACCUCGACGUAGCAUGGGAUCACAAAAUUUAUACCGCGCGCAAACUAGGGGAGCUACCCCUUCGGUUACAACCGAAACACCCAUGCCCCCGGACCGGAUGACUGGCUUUAAUCCAUGGCCAUGGGACCCUCAUCACGGCCUCUCUGUACGGUGUGUGCUAGAAAGGGGUUGACAACUUACUGAACCGUACCCUACCUAUGGCAGGGACAAGUGGUAGUACGAAGCAAGUGUGGGGGUUACUGGACAAGACUCGAUCUAAGGCCGACUCAGGAGGUUCAAGUGUUCCCUGCAUGAUUAGCAUAACAAAAAUAUUCCAAUAACAGAUAAGCUUAACACUCAUCAAGCUCCACCAUGCCAUACCGGGCAUACUCGUCUCAACGAGGGACUAGGGACAAGCUCGCGUCUACCCAAGACCGCGACUUUCCCGACUUCCUUCCGGCAUGCAUGAGAAGCUUACGAGGACGAUCACUAUCACCAGCAUAUCCAUUUAUAACAGCAAGGAAAACUCCAUUUUUCACUCAUGCGUAUGAUCUUACCGUCACAUAAAAUAGCGUAUGCUCCAAGUCAAGGUGAUGUUGUAACCGUAUCAACAACAUCCAAAAAUAUUAAGCCAGGGUUCAGAAUGCUUGCCUUCAAGUGUAUGCAUGUGGGGGUGCACUUUUUGAAGGUUGCCUUUUCUCCAAAAUCCUAUUUUGAGAAAUAUUCAAAUAACACACAUUUCAAAUACAGUACAAAAAGUUGUCCCAAAUAUUUUUGAAAUAAAUCUUAAAAUAAACUAGAUGAAAUUUGAGAGAGGUAGGAAAAAGAAUCAGCUCAUUUGGAGUUUUAUUUUAAAAGAUAUAGCCAGUCAAAGUUCUGUUUUUAAUAAAAUCAGAAAAAGAAAACGCUUCGGGGAGAAUACGCUUUCGAAGCAGAGGAGACGUACUCGGGAUUUUGCGCCAUCACUUAACCAGAGUGGAUGGGCGCGCGGGUCGCUGACAGUGGGUCCAGGGGGCCCACUGGUCAGGUUUGACUGGUCUUCCCUCCCUCCUCUCUCUCUGCCCGAACGGUGGCGGGCCUCCGGUGAUCGCCGUCGACGAACGGCGGCUCUUCGAGGGCACCUGAGGGCAGGGAUGGACCCGCCAGACCUGGGCGGUCCUCCCGGUGGUCGUUGGGCAGGUGGGGACGGAGGAAGUCACCGGCGGCGAGCUCCGCGGCGGACGGUGGUUCGGGAGCAAAGAGGGCUUCGGGCUAUGGUGGUCCUUGGUCGAGGCUGAGGCGCUAGGCAGCUCCGCAAGACUGUGGGGAGACGUUUGGUGGCGUUGGAUAGGCGGGGGAGGGUCCGGUUGCGACGCAUGGCACCGAGCUCGGCGGCGGCCGAACUGGCCGGAGACUAGGAAGGAAGCCCUUCCCCAUCGAUUGCUGGCUGCGGGAGUACUAUGGGGGUGUCCUGGGGUUGCCUGAGUGCUCAGAGGAGCUCGGGGCCUCCUUAUAUAGGCGCGACGGGGCUGGCUCCGCGGUGGUGGAUAAGAACGACGGCGAGUCGCCGUUCUGUAGCUGCAGGGCGUCGUGGCGGCGACGAGCGCGAGCCGACGAGCAUGUGGAUAGGAUCGGGCUGUUCCCAGGGGGCAGCUGGCGCGCGCGGGUGGCUUGGGCCGCGCCGUCCAUGGCAGAGCCCGCUGCCGACGCCGGCGUGCCGCCAAGGAAGCUCUGACGGCGGCGCUGUAGGGCGCCAGGGAGGCUUGGAGGUUUCUGACGAGUGGGCGAGUGCAUGGCGCGGCUCUGCAGGCGAGCAAGGGCCAGGGGUGUGACGCGGCGACCCGUGCGCACGCACGUGCAAAACGCGUGCUCUGGCCGCGCCCAGAGCACGCACACCAGGUGUUCGACGAAAAGCCAGCGCGCUCUAGAGAGCUUGGGUGAUGCGGGUAGUCAACAGGCCAGGGUUAGGGAUAGCUAGGAGGUUUGUGGACAUGCUGGAUGGGUCAGGGGCUCAAGUCCACAAUGCAAACUAGAAGACCUGCCAAAACUGUUCCUGCACACAGGGUGUUCUACAGAAUGCCAUGGGCAUCUAGGCAACUCUUGGGGUGGCCAAACUCUCCAGAUCCUAGUCUCUUUAGGAGCUCAAGAAGGUGGUAAGGUUAGUUUGGCAAAAACAGGAACUUGUUAGUGCAAGUUUUGAGAAAAUCAGUUUUGGGCAGAAACUAAAGGCUAUCAUUGCAUGCACUAAACAUACUCCAAUGGGUCCAAUCUCCUGGACUUAAGUGUUUGGUAGGGAGGACUAUAAGUAGGGAAAAAGCUGAUGGGUACUAGAGCAAAAUAAAAUGGGGUUGCAGUACAAAUCACCAAACUGGACCAGAAUGGAAAUGAAGAUGUUUCACUCAAAUCUUUCAUAGAACAACACUGGGUUUUUGCAUGAAGUUGCAUUAUGAGCAUCUACUGACAUCUCCAAACCCUUGGAAGAAUUUUUAGAAGAAUAUUUAAAUAGGUUGUAGUGCAAAAAUACCUACUGGACCAGAUUUGAAAAAAUUGAUGUAGAGCUCAAAUCUCCAAUAACCCAAAGAUAUUUUUGCAUAAAAGUGAUGUGGAAGCCUCACAUGACCUCCCCAAAUUUUGGUGAAAAUUUUAAAUGUAUUUAUCAAAAGGUUGCAGUGAAAAAGGGGCUCCAAAUUUAUGAAAGAUCAUUUUAAAAGAAUCAAGCUCAUGAAAAACAAUUAUGCAAAUAAAUCCACUGAUAAAGAAUUGUUUUUAUAAAGAGUGCAUACAAGUCCAAUAAUACUUUUGAAGAGUUUCCACUAAAGGUAAAAACCCACGAUAUUAAAGAGAAGAGGGGUUCUGAAAUCAAAGGAGAAAUCCAGAAAAAUAAAAAUUUAAUUUCCUGGCAAAAUUUUAAUUAAUAAAACAAGGUCAAAUUUUUGGGGUGUUACAACACUACCCCCCUUAAGAAAAAUCUCGUCCUCGAGAUUUGCUAAGGGUUGUUUUUUUUAAAUAAUACUCCCAUUAGUUGAAACCAAGAGUUUGCUCAUAGCACGAAUUUAGGGUACAAACAUAAGCUGCAACACACAAAUAAACAUAGCUAUGAUGUUUAUAAUGAAAAUGGCAAAAGGACAGGGUCCUGAGAAAACGUCUUUGGUACUGGGGCGCACAAGCAGACAUCCUUUAAUAAUGGUGAUACAGGAUCACACAAUUACAAGGCGUAGAAAAUAAUAAGGCUCGUUACUACUCGAGUGACUUAGUCUACUCCGUUAAUAUCUAAGCGGGCUUGCCUAGUGGACGAUGAAGCUUCUCCACGGGUUUCACCGUCGGGAUUAGCCGGAUGAGGUUGCGUGGCUGCUGGGUCGGGGUAGCGAUGAUGACCAUCGCGGGGGUUGUUGGCCACAACCCCGUUGGAGUGUGUUCCCAAAAGGCAGCGAAGCACUUCUGGGGACAUCAAAGUAUUUUGGUCGAUGGCUGGGGCAGACCUCAAGGGCUCGAUUGGGUGUCCGAACAGCACGACUGGGUUGUCGGCGUCGGGCUCCACUUCUCCUCUCGCCGAGGCUCGGCGAAACAGUUCUCCACGAGCUGCGAUCAGAUCAAGAGUGAUUUGAUCGAACAGCUCCUCUAGUGCACUUACAUAGCGCACCAGAUGCAAUAGUGCAGGAUCUGUCUCAUGAUCUCCGUUGGCAACCUGGGGUGGCCUACCAUACCCGUUACGACUGGGGUAGUAGUAGAACGAGCGACAGUUAACUCUGGGCGACAAGUGCCGGAGUUGAACUAUAGCUUCUCGAGCUGCCAGUUGGAUGGCUUGUGGCUCAAAGGAAGUGGUCCUUCCAGUGAACCUGUAGGGGCGUUCUGGCGAUAGACCCCUACCAUAAAUGUGUACAGUGGCCCAGAACUGACGGCUCUCACCGCCCAUGAGUUCUUGGUACACAACAUAUUCUGGGGGCUCUCCUAAUGCAUAGGCACGGCGAGUGAGGUUUGCGAGCACGGUCACAAAACCUCCAAGGUUGGUUGAUGUGGUCUCAUUGUGAACAAUGGGGCCAGGCAUCGUGACUUGGCUUGGGAAAGAGGCUGUGCUGUGCUGGGUUGAGGCUAGCGUGCCCUUUUUAUAGAAAAAGGGGCGGAGUCUUCCUUCGCACGCUUGCGAAUGAGACAAGUUAGGUGUCGGUCACUGGCGCGUGAUCGACAGGCUAAGCUGAUAGGUUGGGCACCGACUGCCAAAAGCGUCGGGGUCACUGUGUGGCUAUCUUACACGAGAAGCUUGGCCGGGGUUAGGUUAAGGUCUGGUGGGUUGGUUAACCUAGGUUUAUUGCCCUGGCUAAGAUAGGGUUAGCCAAUGGUCAGCCUGGUUCUGAUACCAAGUCUGUCAGGACCGGAUUUUUGGGAUAUUAAUUCUCCAGAAAAUGGCCCUUGUGCUCACCAGCCCCAGGAUUACUGUUAGCUGAUGAGGCACCAACUUGAUACAAGAAAUUCCAAGCAAGUACAAAAUAUGUAGUACAAGACCAUUGUGGCCUAUGAGUACAACACUUGGUUUCUAGUGGUUGAUGGCGGAAGCGGUUUGGGGUUCAUCUGCGUCUAUGGGACUCCAUUUCCCACAAGAACAGCUGACCAGGAUAACUCCUAUCUUCGCGAGGCUGCUAUCACCUUUACAUGGGUUCCGGGGCUGUCGUCGUAACGCUCUUCUCCACGCAAGAAAUCUGGCCAAGACAAUAGCCAGGGACAAGCCAGUGAGUAUGUUUGAAUGUACUCGCAAACAUUUAGAACAUGGCUAUAAUAUAACAAGGGGUAAUCAUGCUCCGAAAAUAUUCUAUGACCAUAACGUUAGUCACGAGAUAAACAAAAUUCAUGAUGCACACAUGCAAGUUAUUCAUGUAAAAUGCAUUACGGGAGUAGACAUAGAAUGCAUCGAUCGAGUGUCUGAAGCGACGCCUCGAAAGGAAAAAAAUCAUGCCUCAGUCGGGCGUCUGAGCGACACCACAUAAAGGGCUUAUAAAUAAAAGAAAUAACAAGCAUGCCACAGUCGGGCGUCUAUGCGACACCACAUAAAGGGCUUAUAAAUAAAAGAAAUAACAAGCAUGCCACAGUCGGGCGUCUAUGCGACACCACAUAAAGGGCUUAUAAAUAAAAGAAAUAACAAGCAUGCCAAAGUCGGGCGUCUAAGCGACACCACAUAAAGGGGUUAUAAAGGAUAAUCACAGUGAAUAUCCAGGAGGUAGAACCGUCCCAGGGAUACUCAAUNNNNNNNNNNAUAGAAUGCACCGAUCGAGUGUCUGAAGUGACGCCUCGAAAGGAUAAAAAAAUAAAUUAUGCCACAGUCGGGCGUCUAUGCGACACCACAUAAAGGGCUUAUAAAUAAAAGAAAUAACAAGCAUGCCACAGUCGGGCGUCUAUGCGACACCACAUAAAGGGCUUAUAAAUAAAAGAAAUAACAAGCAUGCCACAGUCGGGCGUCUAUGCGACACCACAUAAAGGACUUAUAAAUAAAAGAAAUAACAAACGUGCCACAUUCGGGCGUCUGAGCGAAACCACAUAAAGGGCUUAUAAAUAAAAGAAAUAACGAGCAUGCCACAGUCGGGCGUCUAUGCGACACCACAUAAAGGGCUUAUAAAAGAAUAAUCGCAGNNNNNNNNNNAAAGAAAUAACAAGCAUGCCACAGUCGGGCGUCUAUGCGACACCACAUAAAGGGCUUAUAAAUAAAAGAAAUAACAAGCAUGCCACAGUCGGGCGUCUAUGCGACACCACAUAAAGGACUUAUAAAUAAAAGAAAUAACAAGCAUGCCACAGUCGGGCGUCUAUGCGACACCACAUAAAGGGCUUAUAAAGGAUAAUUAAAUAACAAGCAUGCCGCAGUCGGGCGUCUGAGCGACACCACAUAAAGGGCUUAUAAAGGAUAAUCACAGUGAAUAUCCAGGAGGUAGAACCGUCCCAGGGAUACUCAAUAAUUCAAAUAAUGCAAAUGGUUAGUCCAUAAUAAUAGUAAUCAUAAUCGUCACAUGUCACAAGUCAUAAUCCAAGUUCUGGUUUAACAGUUUUUCCUCCGAAGACCGACACUAAGACCGACACUUGACCCAUCCCAAACUGUAGUCCUUAACCAUGGACACGGCUAUUCGAAUAGAGGUAUAAUCUCUGCAGAGGGUGUACUCUUUACCCACGGGUAACGGAUUUCUUUAGUCCGUCGGCACUAAUUCCGUCUACGGUCUUUUAAUUGAAAACACGCCUGACCUGCACACACCAGCUUAACUUACCGGUGUCUGGAAUCACCCACGACACCUGUCAAGCGAAACUCUAAGUGGGGAGGCUACAACCUCGACGUAGCAUGGGAUCACAAAAUUUAUACCGCGCGCAAACUAGGGGAGCUACCCCUUCGGUUACAACCGAAACACCCAUGCCCCCGGACCGGAUGACUGGCUUUAAUCCAUGGCCAUGGGACCCUCAUCACGGCCUCUCUGUACGGUGUGUGCUAGAAAGGGGUUGACAACUUACUGAACCGUACCCUACCUAUGGCAGGGACAAGUGGUAGUACGAAGCAAGUGUGGGGGUUACUGGACAAGACUCGAUCUAAGGCCGACUCAGGAGGUUCAAGUGUUCCCUGCAUGAUUAGCAUAACAAAAAUAUUUCCAAUAACAGAUAAGCUUAACACUCAUCAAGCUCCACCAUGCCAUACCGGACAUACUCGUCUCAACGAGGGACUAGGGACAAGCUCGCGUCUACCCAAGACCGCGACUUUCCCGACUUCCUUCCGGCAUGCAUGAGAAGCUUACGAGGACGAUCACUAUCACCAGCAUAUCCAUUUAUAACAGCAAGGAAAACUCCAUUUUUCACUCAUGCGUAUGAUCUUACCGUCACAUAAAAUAGCGUAUGCUCCAAGUCAAGGUGAUGUUGUAACCGUAUCAACAACAUCCAAAAAUAUUAAGCCAGGGUUCAGAAUUCUUGCCUUCAAGUGUAUGCAUGUGGGGGUGCACUUUUUUAAGGUUGCCUUUUCUCCAAAAUCCUAUUUUGAGAAAUAUUCAAAUAACACACAUUUCAAAUACAGUACAAAAAGUUGUCCCAAAUAUUUUUGAAAUAAAUCUUAAAAUAAACUAGAUGAAAUUUGAGAGAGGUAGGAAAAAGAAUCAACUCAUUUGGAGUUUUAUUUUAAAAGAUAUAGCCAGUCAAAGAUCAGUCAAAGUUCUGUUUUUAAUAAAAUCAGAAAAAGAAAACGCUUCGGGGAGAAUACGCUUUCGAAGCAGAGGAGACGUACUCGGGAUUUUGCGCCAUCACUUAACCAGAGUGGAUGGGCGCGCGGGUCGCUGACAGUGGGUCCAGGGGGCCCACUGGUCAGGUUUGACUGGUCUUCCCUCCCUCCUCUCUCUCUGCCCGAACGGUGGCGGGCCUCCGGCGAUCACUGUCGAUGAACGGCGGCUCUUCGAGGGCACCUGAGGGCAGGGAUGGACCCGCCAGACCUGGGCGGUCCUCCCGGUGGUCGUUGGGCAGGUGGGGACGGAGGAAGUCACCGGCGGCGAGCUCCGCGGCGGACGGUGGUUCGGGAGCAAAGAGGGCUUCGGGCUAUGGUGGUCCUUGGUCGAGGCUGAGGCGCUAGGCAGCUCCGCAAGACUGUGGGGAGACGUUUGGUGGCGUUGGAUAGGCGGGGGAGGGUCCGGUUGCGAUGCACGGCACCGGAGCUCGGCGGCGGCCGAACUGGCCGGAGACUAGGAAGGAAGCCCUUCCCCAUCGAUUGUUGCCUGCGGGAGUACUAUGGGGGUGUCCUGGGGUUGCCUGAGUGCUCGGAGGAGCUCGGGGCCUCCUUAUAUAGGCGCGACGGGGCUGGCUCCGCGGUGGUGGAUAAGAACGACGGCGAGUCACCGUUCUGUAGCUGCAGGGCGUCGUGGCGGCGACGAGCGCGUGCCGACGAGCAUGUGGAUAGGCUCGGGCUGUUCCCAGGGGGCAGCUGGCGCGCGCGGGUGGCUUGGGCGGCGCCGUCCAUGGCAGAGACCGCUGCUGACGCCGGCGUGCCGCCAAGGAAGCUCUGACGGCGGCGUUGUAGGGCGCCAGGGAGGCUUGGAGGUUUCUGGCGAGUGGGCGAGUGCAUGGCGCGGCUCUGCAGGCGAGCAAGGGCCAGGGGUGCGACGCGGCGACCCGUGCGCACGCACGUGCAAAACGCGCGCUCUGGCUGCGCCCAGAGCACGCACACCAGGUGUUCGACGAAAAGCCAGCGCGCUCUAGAGAGCUUGGGUUAUGCGGGUAGUCAACAGGCCAGGGUUAGGGAUAGCUAGGAGGUUAGUGGACAUGCUGGAUGGGUCAGGGGCUCAAGUCCACAAUGCAAACUAGAAGACCUGCCAAAACUGUUCCUGCACACAGGGUGUUCGACAGAAUGCCAUGGGAAUCUAGGCAACUCUUGGGGUGGCCAAACUCUCCAGAUCCUAGUCUCUUUAGGAGCUCAAGAAGGUGGUAAGGUUAGUUUAGCAAAAACAGGAACUUGUUAGUGCAAGUUUUGAGAAAAUCAGUUUUGGGCAGAAACUAAAGGCUAUCAUUGCAUGCACUAAACAUACUCCAAUGGGUCCAAUCUCCUGGACUUAAGUGUUUGGUAGAGAGGACUAUAAGUAGGGAAAAAGCUCAUGGUACUAGAGCAAAAUAAAAUGGGGUUGCAGUACAAAUCACCAAACUGGACCAGAAUGGAAAUGAAGAUGUUUCACUCAAAUCUUUCAUAGAACAACACUGGGUUUUUGCAUGAAGUUGCAUUAUGAGCAUCUACUGACAUCUCCAAACCCUUGGAAGAAUUUUUAGAAGAAUAUUUAAAUAGGUUGUAGUGCAAAAAUACCUACUGGACCAGAUUUGAAAAAAAAUUGAUGUAGAGCUCAAAAUCUCCAAUAACCCAAAGAUAUUUUUGCAUAAAAGUGAUGUGGAAGCCUCACAUGACCUCCCCAAAUUUUGGUGAAAAUUUUAAAUGUAUUUAUCAAAAGGUUGCAGUGAAAAAGGGGCUCCAAAUUUAUGAAAGAUCAUUUUAAAAGAAUCAAGCUCAUGAAAAACAAUUAUGCAAAUAAAUCCACUGAUAAAGAAUUGUUUUUAUAAAGAGGGCAUACAAGUCCAAUAAUACUUUUGAAGAGUUUCCACUAAAGGUAAAAACCCACGAUAUUAAAGAGAAGAGGGGUUCUGAAAUCAAAGGAGAAAUCCAGAAAAAUAAAAAUUUAAUUUCCUGGCAAAAUUUUAAUUAAUAAAACAAGGUCAAAUUUUUGGGGUGUUACACAUGGCCCUUGGGCACCGCGUUUGACGGGUUGAACCCCAUGUAAUGGCAACACAUGCUGUAAAACAUGUAUGUUGGGAAACUGCUCGACACCCUAAAUGGGGUGUAGCUAUCUCAUAUAUAUAGAGGUACCGAAAGGUACAAUACAAGGUGUAUACAGAAUCUAUGUAUAUACAGUCUAACACCCUCCCUCAAUCUUAACUAUGGCCUGAAGUACAAAGUAAGUUAAGAUUGCGCCUACAACCUACAAACUCUGGUUGUGGAAGAGGCUUCGUGAAGAUGUCAGCAAGUUGAUCUUUUGAGGAGAUGAACUUGAUACAGAGUAGCUUCUGUGCAGUGCGUUCCCGAACAAAGUGACAGUCAACCUCGAUGUGUUUCGUUCGAGCAUGGAACACUGGAUUAGAUGAAAGGUAUGUAGCACCGAUGUUGUCACACCAAAGAACUGGAGGUUGACCUGGAGAGACCAACUCUCUCAAUAAGGACUGUACCCAUAUGAUCUCAGUAGUCGCAUCAGCAACUGCCUUAUACUCAGCCUCAGUACUGCUGCGAGAUACUAUAGCUUGCUUGCGAACAUUCCAGGCGAUCAAGUUAGGACCAAAGAAUACUGCAUAGCCCCCCGUGGAUCACCUAUCAUCAAGACUACCAGCCCAAUCCGCGUCUGAAAAGGCCGAGAGCUCACAAGAUGGGGCAGGUUGAAGAAGCAAACCAUACGAGGCAGUGAGACAGAUAUAACGCAGUAUACGCUUCACAACUGACCAAUGAGAUGUCCUGGGCGCAUGAAGAUACUGACACACACGGUUGACUGCAUAAGAGACAUCUGGUCUGGUGAUAGUGAGGUAUUGCAGACCACCAACGAGACUGCGGUACUCAGUAGCAUCAGCAGGUGAAAGAGGAUCUCCAUCAAGAGCAGACAGCCGAUCAGUCACAGACAUCGGAGUGAUAGCGUGUUUGCAUUUCAGCAUUCCAGCAUGAUGCAACAAGUCCAAAGAAUACUUCUUCUGAGUAAGAGUCAAUCCAGCAAAAGACCGUGAGACCUCCAAACCAAGGAAGUAGUGCAGAGCACCUAAAUCCUUGACAGCAAAAUCACCGAUCAAUGCAGUCACAAGACGAUCAGCAGCAGCAUCUGAGGAACUGACAAGGAUGAUAUCAUCAACAUAAACCAGUAGGUAGAUCGUAAACUCAUGACGCUGAAGGAGAAACAGGGACGUGUCAGCAGUGGAGGGAAUAAACCCAAGAUCCCGGAGAACAGAGACGAGGCGCGCAUGCCACACACGAGGAGCCUGUUUAAGUCCAUACAGUGCCUUAACAAGACGACAGAGAUGACGAGGACGGGCAGGAUCAACAAAACUUGGGGGCUGACACAUAUAAACCUCCUCCUCCAUGAUUCCAUGUAGGAAAGCAUUCUGCACAUUGAGCUGACGAAGAAAACACCCUCGAGUAACAGCAAGAGACAGCAGCAAACGAAUGGUAGUAGGCUUGAUAACUGGACUGAACGUGUCUUCGUAAUCAAGACCAUACCUCUGUUUGAAGCCCUUGGCAACUAGUCGUGCCUUGUAGCAUUCAAUAGAACCGUCGGCGUGUUUCUUAACUUUAAAGACCCACUUGGAAUCAAUGACGUUGACACCAGAAACUGGAGGAACAAGAUGCCAAGUAUCAUUCUUCAGUAAAGCCUGAAAUUCUUGUUCCAUCACAGCGCGCCAGUGAGGAAUGCCCAGUGCAGCCUCAAAGUGACGAGGCUCGGCCAUGGGAUCAGCAACAGCAUGAGCCAUGCAAGCACCAAGCCACGUAACAGUCUCGUCUUUGCGUUCCUUCGGACGAAAAAUGCCAAACUGGCUGCGUGUGCGCGGACGAAGAGCAACCGCGGCAGGCGGCGCCGGCAACGCUGAGCUCGACUCAGGCAAUAGAGGCAAGGCCGAGCCUGGUGCAGUUGACACAGAAGCCGGCGAGCUUGUGCCAGAGACCCCUGGCGUCAGGGAGGCGGGCGGCGUCCGGCCCGGUGAGACCUGCCCACUGGGAGUCGAGGCGGGGCUGGCCAGAUCAGGCGCCGGUGCAAGCGAAAUGGCCACUGGGCCGGGCGAGGUGGCUACCAGGCCAGGGAAAGCGGCCACCGGGCCGAGCGAGGCCGGCGCCCGCGGGGCAGCUGCAGGUGAAACCUCCACGGGCGUGACAGCAGUGGGCUGACGGGCGCAACCCGUCAUGCAUGGCUCAUGCACGGGAUCAACGUCCCGAACCUGAGCGUCGUUCGUCGCCUGAUCAUCGAGGAGCUCAAGGCGAGCGCCGCGUCCGAUACCUGCAGCAUGAUUAGGAAGCAGCGCAGGAGCAUAUGCAACAUGCACAAAUUGAUCAGGCAAAGGUAUAGCUGAGUGCACAGGUGGUGUAGGAGUGGUAGAGUUGUUCGGAAGUGCAUGAAAAGGGAACACAUUCUCAUCAAACACGACGUCACGAGAUAUGUAAACACGAUUGGUGGGAACAUGCAGGCACUUGUACCCUUUAUGGAGGGAACUAUACCCAAGAAACACACACUUUUUAGACCGAAACUCUAGCUUACGCUUGUUAUACGGACGCAGGUGAGGCCAACAUGUACACCCAAACACUUUUAGGAACGUGUAGUCUGGGAUUUCGUUGAGCAAGAGUUCAAUCCGAGUUUUCAUUUUCAGAAGUCGUGAGGGAAGCCUAUUUAUCAAGAAACUGGCUGUGGAAAAAGCAUCACUCCAAAACUGAAAUGGAACGGAGGCAUGAGCUAGUCAGGUAAGGCCAGUUUCUACAAGAUGACGAUGCUUNNNNNNNNNNNNNNNNNNNNNNNNNNNNNNNNNNNNNNNNNNNNNNNNNNNNNNNNNNNNNNNNNNNNNNNNNNNNNNNNNNNNNNNNNNNNNNNNNNNNNNNNNNNNNNNNNNNNNNNNNNNNNNNNNNNNNNNNNNNNNNNNNNNNNNNNNNNNNNNNNNNNNNNNNNNNNNNNNNNNNNNNNNNNNNNNNNNNNNNNNNNNNNNNNNNNNNNNNNNNNNNNNNNNNNNNNNNNNNNNNNNNNNNNNNNNNNNNNNNNNNNNNNNNNNNNNNNNNNNNNNNNNNNNNNNNNNNNNNNNNNNNNNNNNNNNNNNNNNNNNNNNNNNNNNNNNNNNNNNNNNNNNNNNNNNNNNNNNNNNNNNNNNNNNNNNNNNNNNNNNNNNNNNNNNNNNNNNNNNNNNNNNNNNNNNNNNNNNNNNNNNNNNNNNNNNNNNNNNNNNNNNNNNNNNNNNNNNNNNNNNNNNNNAUCAAACACAUCAGAUUUACGCUUAAUAAGAUACAGCCAAGUAAACCGACUAUAAGCAUCAAUAAAGCUGACAUAAUAAUUGUGGCCACUAACGGAAGUUUGGGCAUGACCCCAUACAUCAGAAAACACAAGCUCAAGAGGAUGUUUCACAACACGACUAGACUCUGAAAAAGGAAGUUGGUGACUCUUGCCUUGCUGACAGGCAUCACAGAUAGUUUCAGCAAUUUUAUUGGACACAACUGGUAGUUCAUGACGAUGCAGCACGUGACGAACUAUAGGAGCAGCAGGGUGACCAAGGCGCACAUGCCAGUGCGUAGGCGACACACGAACACUGCUAAACGCCCAGGGACAAAACUGCAUAGGAGGUGCGGGCGAUGCGUCAAGUGCAUACAGGCCAUGGCGAAGACGACCGCUAAGCAGAACGACCCUCGUGUCUCGAUCCUUGAUGAAGAAACGAAAAGGAUGAAACUCAGCAAGGACAUUAUUAUCACGAGUAAGUUGAGGAAUAGAUAACAAACUACGCGUAGCAGAUGGAACUCGAAGAACAUUGGAAAGAUGCAGUUUUUAAAAGUUGUGUGCAAGAAGUGAGGCCUGACCAACGUGUGAGAUUGAUACGUCUCCAACGUAUCUAUAAUUUUUUAUUGUUCCAUGCUAUUAUAUUAUCCUUCUAGGAUGUUUUAUAUGCAUUUAUAUGCUAUUUUAUAUGAUUUUUGGGACUAACCUAUUAACCUAGAGCCGAGUGCCAGUUUCUGUUUUUUCCUUGUUUUUGAGUAUCGCAGAAAAGGAAAACCAAACGGAGUCCAAUUGACCUGAAACUUCACGGAACUUAUUUUUGGACCAGAAGAAGGCCAUGGAGUAAAAGAGUUGGGCCAGAAGAGUCUCGGGCUGCCCACGAGGGUGGGGGGCGCGCCCACCCCCUGGGCGCGCCUCCCUACCUCGUGGACAGCCCGGAGACCCCCCUGACUUGCUCUCGACGCCAAAACCUCUUAUAUAUACAGAAACCCCCAGAACAUAACCUAGAUUGGGAGUUCCGCCGCCGCAAGCCUCUGUAGCCACCGAAAACCAAUCUAGACCCGUUCCGGCACCCUCCCGGAGGGGGGAUCCAUCACCGGUGGCCAUCUUCAUCAUCCCGGCGUUCUCCAUGACGAGGAGGGAGUAGUUCACCCUCGGGGCCGAGGGUAUGUACCAGUAGCCAUGUGUUUGACCUCUCUCUCUCUCGUGUUCUUGAGGUGGCACGAUCUUGAUGUAUCGCGAGCUUUGCUAUUAUAGUUGGAUCUUAUGAUGUUUCUCCCCCUCUACUCUCUUGUAAUGGAUUGAGUUUUCCCUUCAAAGUUAUCUUAUUGGAUUGAAUAUUUAAGGAUUUGAGAACACUUGAUGUAUGUCUUGCGUGGGAUGCCCGUGGUGACAAUGGGGUAUUCUAUUGAUUCACUUGAUUUAUGUUUUGGUGAUCAACUUGCGGGUUCAGUGACCUUGUGAACUUAUGCAUAGGGGUUGGCACACGUUUUCGUCUUGACUCUCUGGUAGAAACUUUGGGGCACUCUUUGAAGUUCUUUGUGUUGGUUGAAUAGAUGAAUCUGAGAUUGUGUGAUGCAUAUCGUAUAAUCAUACCCACGGAUACUUGAGGUGACAUUGGAGUAUCUAGGUGACAUUAGGGUUUUGGUUGAUUUGUGUCUUAAGGUGUUAUUCUAGUACGAACUCUAUGAUAGAUCGAACGAAAAGAAUAGCUUCGUUUUAUUUUACUACGGACUCUUGAAUAGAUCGAUCAGAAAGGAUAACUUUGAGGUGGUUUCGUACCCUACCAUAAUCUCUUCGUUUGUUCUCUGCUAUUAGUGACUUUGGAGUGACUCUUUGUUGCAUGUUGAGGGAUAGUUAUAUGAUCCAAUUAUGUUAUUAUUGUUGAGAGAACUUGUAGUGAAAGUAUGAACCCUAGGCCUUGUUUCAAUGCAUUGCAAUACCGUUUAUGCUCACUUUUGUCAUUAAUUACCUUGCUGUUUUUAUAUUUUUUCAGAUUACAAAAACCUAUAUCUACCAUCCAUAUUGCACUUGUAUCACCAUCUCUUCACCGAACUAGUGCACCUAUACAAUUUACCAUUGUAUUGGGUGUGUUGGGGACACAAGAGACUCUUUGUUAUUUGGUUGCAGGGUUGUUUGAGAGAGACCAUCUUCAUCCUACGCCUCCCACGGAUUGAUAAACCUUAGGUCAUCCACUUGAGGGAAAUUUGCUACUGUCCUACAAACCUCUGCACUUGGAGGCCCAACAACGUCUAUAAGAAGAAGGUUGUGUAGUAGACAUCAGAGAUGCGCAUACCUGCUCCAUUGGUGGUGUGCACCUGAUCAUGACCACAAUAUUGCUCCUGGGUGGAGAGCUUGCCCAUCUCGCUGGUGAGGUGGUUGGUAGCUCCUGUGUCCAUAUACCACGUAGGAUCGAUGGAGUAGGACGGAGUGUGCCCGUGCUCAUGACUCGUCACCGCAGCGGCAGCCUGCUUGUCAGUCCCUUUGCCGUUGUUGCCCAGACCAAGGAAAUCUUGCUUGAAGCGUCGAUGACAGCGAGAGGCAAUAUGGCGUUCAAUGCCACACAGCUGGCAAGCCUGCUGAGCACCGCAGUAGGGACAGCAAGUGAGCGGGCGACUGCUGCCGGUAAUGGAUGGCGCGGCCCCCCGCAGAGCCUGCUAUGGUGAGGACGUCGAUUUGCCACCGGGCGGAGACAGCUUCCGAGGUUUGCCGCGGGUCGCGACAUUGGCAGAAACGAAGCUCGGGCGGCACGACGCGCCUUGAUGCGCUGUUCGCGGCCGAGGAGGCGCGCAUAGAGCUCACGUGGCUGAAGUGGAGCGUCGCGACCAUGGACGUUCUCAAUGAGAUUAUCAUAGUCAUCAUCAAGACCAUUGAGGACGUGGGUGGUGAAGUCCUCGGGGCCAAGUGGCUGGCCGACGGAGGCCAAUGUGUCGGCGAGACCGGUCAUCUUGUUGAAGUUGUCUGUGAUGCUAAGACUGUCAAGCUUGGUUUCCCUCAGCUCAGUGCGUAUAGAAUGAGCACGCGCUUGAGAUUGAGAGGCGAAGCUGGUGUGAAGCGCCGUCCAUGCAUCCCGAGAUGUCGCGGCAAAGAUGACCAGCGACGAAACGCUCAGAUUGAGCAAAGACUGGAUGGCGGAGAGGAUUGCCUGAUCCUGGGCCACCCACAUGUGAUAUGCCGGAUGAUACGGCGGCGGGCACGGGAUGGAGCCGUCAACGUAUCCCUCCAAGUAGCGGCUCCUGAGGAGAGGCAGCACCUGAGCACGCCACGACAAGUAGUUGUCCGACGUAAGCUUCACCGGAAGAAGGUGCGAGAAGUAAAACGGCGACGGCGCCACAGCAUGAUCAGCGUGAGCCUGCGCCGGGGGCGCGUAGAGGCCCAUCGAUGGGGCCGUCUUCGGGUGAGCAGCGAUCACCGGGGAGGUGCCAUGGCCAGGCACGACACCAUUGUACGGCGAGGAUGGGUAGGCGCCAUGAGGAGCAGCAGUUAGGGCACUGCGGGUAGAGGCGAUUGGGGCCCCAGGAGGCGCCGUAGGCUCGGCCCCGUAGGGCAGCGAAGGCGGCGGCGCCGCGUAGGGUUGCGGCGGCGGCGCCGCGUAGGGUUGUGGGGGCGGCGCACCAUAGGGAGGCAGCGGCCAGGCAAACGGCGGCGGUGGCAUGGCACCAUACGCCGAGGCAGGGGCACCAUACAGCGGUGCGGGGACGCCAUACGGCGGCGGGGCAUCGUAGAUCGGUGCAGGUGGGGCGCCGUACGCGGGCGGAGGACCGCGGUAGGGCGUCGGUGCAGCAACGUCGGUCGAGGAGGACGGACCACCGAAGGAGACCGACGGAGGCAGAUCGCCCGGUGCGCCCGAUCCGAUCGGGGAGCCAGGAGGGGCACCAACAGGGGACUGGGCUUGCCACUAAGCCGCGGCAAGGGGCCGAGAGGCGAGGAAGGGCGACGAACGGGCGAUGGCAGGAGCCGGCGCAGCGAUGGCGACGGCAGGAGCCGGCGCAACGGCGGCGGCGGGGGCAGCGGAAGGCAUCGUAACAUAAUCUGAUACCAUGUAAAACAUGUAUGUUGGGAAACUGCUCGACACCCUAAACGGGGUGUGACUAUCUCAUAUAUAUAGAGGUGCCAAAAGGUACAAUACAAGGUGUAUAUAGAAUCUACGUAUAUAGUCUAACACAGGCGAGGUGCAGCGGCGCGUGCAUGGGCCUAGGAUGCCACGUUAAACACCCACAUACGACAAAUGUAUACAUGUAUAGAGGGCGCAUAUCUGCGUGCUCCACGGCUACUUGGGUCGACGACUUUUUUAAUAGAAAACCAUCCUAUCAUUUGUUAUGAAGGGGUAUGGGCAGAUAUGGUAUAUCGAUGUAUUUAGCAGGGUUGUAUUGAAAAAGAAGUGUUAUAUGCGACCUUUGUUGACAAUCAUUUUUUAUGGUAAUCUACCUUGUGAAUUAUUAUCCUUAUUUUUCACAAUUGUUAAAUUAUCCACUAUUUGUGAGCCUAUUUUGUUAUCAUUCUUCCCUCUUGCUCAUCGCCUUAUACUGAGUGAAAUAUAAGGACAAAGAUAGGGAUUGAAGGCUGACUGACAUUUACUAAAAUGGGAGAACUUUAAAAUGUUUUUCAUUGGACUCGGUUCAACUAGUCCUCAAGGUACGCCAUAUACACUGAUACUUCCUCCGUCCGAAAAUACUUUCAUCAAAAUGGAUAAAAAGAUAUGUAUCUAAAACCAAUAUAUAUCUAGAUACAUCACAUUUUAUUUAUUUUGAUAAUAAGUAUUUCCGGACGGAGGGAGUAGUAGAUAACAGUAGCUCCAGAAGUAAGAUUAGACCACAAGCCGGUAGCCGAGCUCUACUUGAUUUUAUUUGUAACGAAAAUAGAUAGCUUCAUUCGUACCCUAGCCAUAUAUAGCUAGUUACAGUCACAGGAGGCGGACGCGACUGUCAUCGGGUAGGGAAAGGAGUUGCCGUACUGGAACGACACAGGGAAGCUGGGCUCGAUGGACCCGCCGCCAUUGACGAGGCAGUCGUUGAAACCGAGGCGGCGGAACUUGUCUGGGUCGAU
RNAcentral lists this long non-coding RNA (81301 nucleotides) under Triticum aestivum (bread wheat). RNAcentral describes it as "long non-coding RNA (TAES_LNC004177)". The stretch from base 80905 to 81038 matches the Rfam family "MIR1120/MIR1122 microRNA precursor family". Lineage: Eukaryota; Viridiplantae; Streptophyta; Magnoliopsida; Poales; Poaceae. The record is from RNAcentral.